GGGUCGGCGAUGGCGCAGGACGUGCUCCUGGGCGCCAACGGCGGCGUGCUGGUGUUCGAGCCCAACGACUUCAGCGUCAAGGCCGGCGAGACCAUCACCUUCAAGAACAACGCCGGGUACCCGCACAACGUGGUGUUCGACGAGGACGCGGUGCCCUCCGGCGUCGACGUCUCCAAGAUCUCCCAGGAGGAGUACCUCAACGCCCCCGGGGAGACCUUCUCCGUCACGCUCACCGUCCCCGGCACCUACGGCUUCUACUGCGAGCCCCACGCCGGAGCCGGCAUGGUCGGCAAGGUCACCGUCAACUAAGCUGUCAUCUAGCUCUUGCGAAUUGUUGCGGGUCGGUUGAUCGAUCGGGCGUGUCAUGCAUGCAUAUUGAUUAAUUGUACGUACGUACGCUAUAUGUAUAUGUUUUCAACUAUAAGAUGAGAUGAGGCUCUUGAUGAUAAGUACGCACUCCUUCUUAGCUUUGAUUUGAUUGAUGAUCUAUGCUUAAUUAUUUUUUUCAAUUUGUUAUGCUCAUCGAAAAUUAGUAUGCCGGUGUUAUGUCAAUACUCAAACUUCAUGUUCUCUCAGAUAUACUAUAUAUGUGUCCCGACUUCGUACCUUUAAUAGGAGGCAAAUAUAAUUGAGCUACCACCUGUGACUUUGGGUCUAUGACAUAUGGACCAGACACCUAAUGGGCCCACAUGUCAUGCACCCAAAGUCAAGAGUAACUUUAACAAUUGUUAUAGGAAAACGAUUCCCUCAAAAGAAAUAAAAUCCAGCACACCCAAAGAGAAAGGGAUACGUGUAUAAGGCCAAUGGGUUCAAAUGUUGCAUGGGAGCAAAACUUGAAAACAAGAAAUUUUGGGCUUCACUUGAAUGUGUCUAUUCCUCUUCUUUUUCUUUAGAAAUAGAGUACACACACGGACAUGGAUCCUCUUAUGUUGCUAUCAUUGCCUUACCCCGCCUUUCUGUUGCUGACAGGUGGGACCGAUGCUUGAUGAGACCCACAUGGCAGUGACUCAAUUGUAGGAUAGCCCACGUUAGGGGAUCCUCAUCCCCCCCCCCCUCCCCCUCCCCACCACCACACCGAAUGCUAGACCUGCAUAAUACUUGUUACGUAAUUUACGUAAAUAGCAACGUUGAGCGUUAUUAGCAAAUUAUUUACUUAAUUUACGUAAACAGUUACAAGACAGAAUCUGAGCAUGGGGCAACAUAGCACGUUAUUUUGAACUGCUAAAAAAAGGUGCUUAAAAGAUUUUUCUUUUUAGUUUUUUUACAUCAAUACGCAUGCUUGUGGUCUAACUACUUGUGAGAUUUCAUUCAAGAAUACAACGUGCUGCACAAAAAAAGGCAAAAUUUUGCCCAGAAACAACUAAGAACAAGCCCCUAAUUUGCACGUGUUCUGUAUUUUUUGUAUAUUUCACGUGCAAACAUGUAUAAUGUUGAAAUGUUGGCGCAUUAUACUGCAUUGCUGUAAUGCAGAAAUUUGAAAAUUUUCAAGCCAUGGUUUUUUGAACUUACAAAAAAAAUAGGCACUAUGUGCCCGUGCUUUUUGUACGUGGGCCGUGUGUGUUUCUGCACUUUUGGCCCGUUUUUUAGUUUUCUUACAGAGGAUGGCCGGGUUUUUUUUUCUUCGGGAGGAAAAAAAAAUAGAAGGUGCGACUCCGCUGGGGAUCGAACCCAGAAUCUCUGGUUUCGUAGACCAGCGCCUUAUCCAUUGGGCCACGGAGUCCUGCGUGUGUUAUAUUUCUUUUUGUUAGGGUCAUAUAUCAAUUAUCUUUUCCUUUAAGCACCAUGUACAACCGUUGUGUUAGUCAGCCACACAUGUAUUCUUAGUCCCCCACAUAGACCUCUUUUAAAUAAUAUUUAGGUCACUUUCUAAUUAUUAUUUUUGCAGUUUUUUUACCUUUUGCUUUCUUUCUUUUUUUUGAACCUUUUGCUUCCUUUUCCAUCACGCGAAAAAAAAGAAUUUUAAGUUGUAACUCACGGGAUUUUCUUAGUAAUAACGUGUGCCUUUUGUUGUCGUGUUGUUCGUUCUAUCGGUGUCGAUUUGUGGUUUAGUUGCGAGGCACGAUAGAUUUUCACUUGGGUCGCGUGUGUGUCUUCUGUUGUUUCGGCUUUGCCCCUCGACCAUCGUGACUCAUACAUUGGCAUAGGUGUGCAGGAGAGAUUCGCUAAAAAAAGGUGUGUAGUAAGAGAGGCUCAUAUAAUUUUUUUUUUCUGUGUUUCAGUUUGGGGCUGGAUUUUACCAUGGAAGGAGUAAUGGAUAUUGUCUUUUCUUCUUGGAGCAGACGCGCACAAGUGGGCUGAGAGGGUGAUAGUAACACCUCAUUCACGAGUGCUUUUACCGAGUUUUAAUUUAGGUCUGGCCAAAAUUUAGUGGAGUAAAAAUGUCCCACUGAGGGUUUACUCCGCUAGAUCCUCCGUUAUGUAUAGGGAUCGGUUAGAGUUGCCCUUACGUUUGCUUUGGUCCAUGGGAUUCAUCAAAAGGGCUUCAGGGUUAACCCAGCUUUGGCUCCAAGCCUGCAAGCAUUCCCAACUGCAGAAGGAUUGAUUUCCCAAGUCAAAAAUAAUUUGGAACCAAAAGUGGUGUCCUAGUUGUGCCACCCCAAUGCAUCAUAGUCAGUUAUGUAUGUUUCAUCUCCUGAAAAGGGAAUCGUUAUUGCCCAAAACAAAGGAAAUGUCAGAUAUGCCUAAAAAUGAUCUGUGUGCUAAAAAUAAAGAAUGGCUGAAAUGAAAAAUAAAAAUAAAGGAGUGGAGGUGCGGGGAAUCGAACCCCGUGCCUCUCGCAUGCGAAGCGAGCGCUCUACCAUAUGAGCUACACCCCCGUUGCUUGUUACGUUGGUACGCGUGAUUAAUUGGUCUGUUAAUUAAUUACUCCCGUCAGUACGUACUACUCCAUAUGGAGUAUUUAACGGCAUCUUGUUUCCUAUUAUAUUAUAUGGACAAAAUAUAGAGUGCACAACAUCCAUAUGGGUGUCUUACCACAAUAGAUCAAUCACAAUACUGUACUAAAUUUGAAGCUUCCCGGUACAAUCCCUGAUGUUGUUUAGAGGACUAAUUAACUGACUUGUACACUCUGGCGAUGAUGCGUCAUCGUGGUACUGAUGUAUGUUAGUAUGUACUACUUCAAUUUGAAAUGAAACCACAUCACUUAUUUUAUAUCGAAGGGAGUAGCAAAUUUGCUUGUGUGUCGCAACGGGAGAAAAAAAAUCACACUUCCCUAGCUCAAUGGCUCUAGACCCUUCCCUCUCCCCACACUCACCUAUUCCCGUACAAUAAAAACAAGAUGGUAAGUGGUGUCGCACAAAAACAUAAAUGUGGAACGAUUUUUUUUGACGAGAAGGCCAUCAUCACUAGCUUUAUUAAAACUCAAAUGACACUUACAUCAUCAGCUAAAAAUUUAAAGAGGAAAUCCGGCGGAACCUCCACCCAAAAGGUAGGAGUAUUGGCACCGCCCCACUGAGCUAGGUCAUGGGCAACCAUAUUAGACUCUCUAAUACAAUGUUCUACCACAGCCUUCCUGAGUUCUCUCAACAUCACUCGACAAUCUUGCAAAAUAGGAGCCGCCACCAUCAGAGUGUCCUUCAUUAUUAUGUAGCGCCUGCACCACUAUCAGGUUGUCCAUACGUACUAAAAGAUUGUUGCAUCCAGUGCUCUGUGCUAGUUUUAGUCCCUCCAAUAGCGCUGCUGCUUCUGCUGAAACCACAUCUGGGACAUGGUCAAGUCUUGCUGUAGCUGCCCUGAUGAAGCCUCCUCUGUUAUCGCGAAGCACAGCUCCACAAGCUCCUGUGAAAUCGUCUUCUGAGUAGGAUGCGUCGACAUUCAGUAUUUGCUGUCGGUCAUGCCAGGAGACCAUCUGUUUGCAUGUGGAACUUGGGUCAAAAUUCCUCUUGCUCUAACAAAAUUCAAGGUUAAAGCGUAUUUUGCUGGAGCAGUCUGAAUUGGACACUGAACUUGUUCACCCCGGACCAAUUGCCUGCGUUGCCACCAUAUGUACCAACAUGCUGUUGCAAACAACUCUGGUAGUUUAACUGGGUCCAUAUACAUGUGCUGAGAGGCUUGAUCACAUAGCAUAAAUUCAAUCAAUGUUGAACCAGCAUGAUCCACUAGCGUUGCAUCCGCUACUUCCUUUGCUAUUCCAAGGGCUUCCCAAAUUUGCAUUACUCGGGGGCAUUUAAAAAGGGCAUGCAUUAUGUCUUCUGCUCCCGAAGAACAUACUGGACGCUGAGAGUUACUGCCAAUAUGGCGGUUUGCAAGGACACAAAGACAUGGGAUAGCAUUGUGCAAACACCUCCAUGGACAUUUUUUGAUCUUCCCUGGUAGCUUGAGGUUCCAUAAUCUUUUCCACCCCGGAUGUGAUGAAGAUCCACCUGACUGAAGUGCACCCGGGGUUGUCGCAUAACACACUUCCCACUGCUUAUAAUAAGCUGACCGUACCGUAAAAACGCCACUCUUCGUGAGGUGCCAUGUGAUGUAGAUUUCCAUCUCCUGAUGAUGGAUUGGGAUUUGAAGAAUGCGGUCCACAUCAAUAGGCCAGAAAUUCUCACGAAUAAGCAGUUCAUCCAUUCCCCCGAGACUGGGUCUAUUAAUUCAUGAACUUUAGUAAGCACUUGAUUCGCCCGAACUGUCACUAUUUUCCUUGAAGAGCUAUUCGGUAUCCAGCAAUCAUCCCAAAUAUUUAUUUUUGCUCCAUCUCCAACUCUCUAUAUACUACCCUUCUUGAAAGUUUGAAUUCCCACCCAUAUACUUUGCCAUACGAAAGAUGAGCCCUUUUUCAACUCGCAAUUUAGAAUAUCACCCGUGGGAUAGUACCUUGAUCUCAAAACCUUUGCACAGAUAGAGUCAUAAUUUUCAAUCAGCCUCCAAACUUUCUUUGCGAGCAUAGCCAAGUUGAAAUUGUGGAUGUCACGGAAGCCCAUCCCUCCGUUAUCUUUGGGCACACACAUUUUCCACCACGCAAACCAGUGCAUCCGGCGUUGGUUCUCGUCAUCACCCCACCAAUACUGCGACAUUGCAUCAGUGAUCCCCUUAUAAAUGUGGAACGAUUUUAUAAUAAAGGUGUGUGUGCAAUUUAGGCCACAUAUAUAUCUGAUGGAAAUAUGCCCUAGAGGCAAUAAUAUAGUUGUUAUUAUUAUAUUUCCUUGUUCAUGAUAAAGUUUUAUAAUUAAUGCUAGAAUUGUAUUGGUCGGAAACAUGUGUGGAUACAUAAACAAAUACCGUGUCCAAGUAAACCUUUACUAGACUAGCUCAUUGAUCAAACAUGGUUAAUGUUUCCUAACCAUGGACAUGUGUUGUCACUUGAUAACGAGAUCACAUCAUUAGGAGAAUGAUGUGAUGGACGAGACCCAUCCGUUAGCUUAGCAUAUGAUCAUUCAGUUUAUUGCUACUGCUUUCUUAAUGUCAAAUACAUGUUCCUUCGACCAUGAGAUCAUGCAACUCCCGAAUACCGGAGGAAAGCCUUGUGUGCUAUCAAAUGUCACAACGUAACUGGGUGAUCAUAAAGAUACUCUACAGGUAUCUCCGAAGGUGUCUGUUGAGUUGGUGUGAAUCGAGAUUGAGAUUUGUCACUCCGUGUAUCGGAGAGGUAUCUCUUGGCCCUCUCGGUAAUACACAUCACAAGAAGCUUGCAAGCAAAGUGACUAAGGAGUUAGUUGAAAGAUGAUGUUUUACGGAACGAGUAAAGAGACUUGUAGGUAACGAGAUUGAACUAGGUAUAGAGAUACCGAUGAUCGAAUCUCGGGCAAGUAACAUAGCGACAGACAAAGGGAAUUACAUAUGUUGUCAUAAAAAUUCAACCGAUAAAAGAUCUUCGUGGAAAAUGUAGGAAUCAAUAUGAGCAUCCAGGUCCCCCUAUUGGUUAUUGACCAGAGAGUUGUCUCGGUCAUGACUACAUAAUUUCCAAUCCCGUAGGGUCGCACGCUUAACAUUCAUUGACGCUCGAGUAGUAUUGGGAUAUUUGAUGAGUCGUAACCAAAUGUUGUUUGGAGUCCCGGAUGAGAUCCUGGACGUCACGAGGAGUCUCGGAAUGGUCGAGAGCUAAACAUUUAUAUAUGGGAAGUCAUAUUUUGGGUUCCAGAAAAGGUGCAGUUUUUUCAGUAUUGUACCGGGAAGCUUUCAGAAGGUUCCAGAGGGGUCGGGAAGUCCACAAGUGGGUUCACCACGACCCAAGGGCUAGCAUGGGCUGCGGGGAGGCGCUCUGGCCUUAUCGGGCUAGGCGCAUGAUAACCCACACAUAUAGGGGAUCACUACAGUUUUCGAGGAUAGAAUAUUCAAUCCAAAUUUAUUGAUUCGACACAAGGAGAGCCAAAGAAUAUUCUCAAGUAUUAGCAGCUGAGUUGUCAAUUCAACCACACCUGAAAGACUUAAUAUCUACAGCAAAGUAUUUAGUAGCAAAGUAGUAUGAAAGUAGCGGUAACGGUGGCAAAAGUAAUAGUAGCAGUUUUGUAGCAAUCGUAACAGUGGCAACGGAAAAGUAACUUAACAAAGAUCAAUGUGAAACGGGCUCGUAGGCAAUGGAUCAAUGAUGAAUAAUUAUGUCGGAUGGAAUUCAUCAUGCAACAGUUAUAACAUAGGGUGGCAAAGAACUAGCUCCAAUUCAUCAAUAUAAUGUAGGCAUGUAUUCCGAAUAUAGUCAUGCGUGCUUAUGGAAAAGAACUUGCAUAACAUCUUUUGUCCUACCCUCCCGUGGAAGCAGGAUCCUAUUGAAAACUAAGGGAUAUUAAGGCCUUCUUUUAAUAGAGAACCGGACCAAAGCAUUAGCACCUAAUGAAUACAUGAACUCCUCAAACUACGGUCAUCACCGGAAAGUGUCCCGACUAUUGUCACUCCGGGGUUGCCGGAUCAUAACACGUAGUAGGUGACUAUAACUUGCAAGAUUGAAUCAAUAACACAAAUAUAUUCAUGAAAAUAUAAUAGGUUUAGAUCUGAAAUCAUGGCCUUCGGGCCCUAGUGAUAAGCAUUAAGCAUAGCAAAGUCAUAGCAACAUCAAUCUUAGAACAUAGUGGAUACUAGUGAUCAAACCCUAACAAAACUGACUCGAUUAUAUGGUAAAUCUCAUCCAACCCAUCACCGUCCAGCAAGCCUACGAUGUGAUUACUCAUGCACGGCGGUGAUCAUAAUGAAAUUGGUGAUGGAAGCUGGUUGAUGAUGACGAUGGCGACGAUUUCCCCUCCCCGGAGCCCAAAAUGGACUCCAGAUCUGCCCUCCCGAGGAAGAACAGGAGGUGGCGGCAGCUCCGUAUCGUAAAAUGUGAUGAAUCGUUCCUCUGAUUUUUUUCUCCCCGAACGUGAAUAUAUGGAGUUCGAGUUGAGGUCGGUGGAAGUCUGUGGGUCCCACAAGACAGGGGCGCGCCCUAGGGGGUGUGCGCCCUCCACCCUUGUGGACAGGUGGUGGGUCCCCUCUAGUUGAUUCUUUCACCAAUAUUUUUUAUUUAUUUCAAAAAUAAUCUCCGUGAAGUUUCAGGUCAUUCCGAGAACUUUUAUUUCUGCACAAAAAUAACAACAUGGCAAUUCUCCUGAAAACAUUGUCAGUCCGGGUUAGUUCCAUUCAGAUCAUGCAAAUUAGAGUCCAAAAUAAGGGCAAAAGAGUUUGGAAAAGUAGAUACAACGGAGACAUAUCAGUGCACCAAGUUCUCAAAAGCCCAUGUGGGUAGGGAAUGCAAAAAAGGAAGGAGUCCUAGUAGGAAUAGGAUUGUACUUGGAGUCAAAGUCCUCUCCCCCUUAGCUGCGCCCUAGGGCUUGGAGGGGCUGUUUUCCACACCCCUCCACUAUAUAUAGAGGGGAUGGGGGUGCCCCAAGAGGAAAAAUCAAGCCCUUCCGUAGUUCCACUGCCUUGUUCCAGAGACGCUUAGCGAAGUGCUGUCGAUGCUCCACCAUCACCAUUACCACCACGCCGUCGUGUUGGUUGUAAUCCCAUCUACUUCUCCUCUCCCGCUUGCUGGAUCAAGAAGGAGGAGACGUCAUCGAGCCGCACGUGUGCUAAACUCGAAGGUGUCGUCCGUUCGACACUAGAUCGGUUGGAUCGUGAUCAGAUCGCGAAGAGUAUGACUACAUCAACCGCGUGAUAAACGCUUCCGCUUAGCGAUCUACAAGGGUACGUAGAUGCUCUCCCCCUCUCGUAGCUAUGCAUCUCCAUGGAUAGAGUGCGUAGAAUUUUUUAUUUUUCAUGCAACGUUCCCCAACAAUAUCUACCAUGUUGUGAUCAUCAAAUCUGCACACCUUACUGGCAUUCCUCAGUGAUGCCCAUUCUCACCGGGUGGCUAGCGUGGAUGACACGGUGGCCUGGUUCUUGGCCGCUGGCCCCGAGCCAAAACUCAUCGACAAUUUCACUUANNNNNNNNNNNNNNNNNNNNNNNNNNNNNNNNNNNNNNNNNNNNNNNNNNNNNNNNNNNNNNNNNNNNNNNNNNNNNNNNNNNNNNNNNNNNNNNNNNNNNNNNNNNNNNNNNNNNNNNNNNNNNNNNNNNNNNNNNNNNNNNNNNNNNNNNNNNNNNNNNNNNNNNNNNNNNNNNNNNNNNNNNNNNNNNNNNNNNNNNNNNNNNNNNNNNNNNNNNNNNNNNNNNNNNNNNNNNNNNNNNNNNNNNNNNNNNNNNNNNNNNNNNNNNNNNNNNNNNNNNNNNNNNNNNNNNNNNNNNNNNNNNNNNNNNNNNNNNNNNNNNNNNNNNNNNNNNNNNNNNNNNNNNNNNNNNNNNNNNNNNNNNNNNNNNNNNNNNNNNNNNNNNNNNNNNNNNNNNNNNNNNNNNNNNNNNNNNNNNNNNNNNNNNNNNNNNNNNNNNNNNNNNNNNNNNNNNNNNNNNNNNNNNNNNNNNNNNNNNNNNNNNNNNNNNNNNNNNNNNNNNNNNNNNNNNNNNNNNNNNNNNNNNNNNNNNNNNNNNNNNNNNNNNNNNNNNNNNNNNNNNNNNNNNNNNNNNNNNNNNNNNNNNNNNNNNGGCCUUGGAGGCGUCGUCUACGGUGAUGGCACCAUUUUUCUCUUACAGUUUUCGCUCGCGCAGCAACAAGAAGCAAGCCAUUAUGGAAACAGAGUUCACGGCAGCUAUCAUGCGCUCCGGCGACAAGUCAUGGACGGUCAUGGAAAAGAGACUGGAUAUAGUGGCACGAGGAGGCGAUGCCAUGUGUCAUGACAACAUGGUCUUGGUGUGGGCUGCCGACUAUCUCUGGUGCUUCCUCCACCAAACUAAUGGCGGUGGCAUCGGGGGAAGCAACCUUGCAUCAUGGAGGUGGAAUACAGACCACGGUCACAAUUAUGAUCACGAAUGCAACUACAUGUUGGAGUCACAAGGUGAGAUACUAUGGGCAUCCAUCCUGAUGAAAGAGAACAACAGUCAUUACAGCUACGACGGCCCGCCGUGGACAUUUCGGAUGACGCUAUGCGCACUGUAGAAAGAGGCGAGAUGCGACGGGUCAUCAAGGAUGGCCAGAGCCUUGGCAACCACAUAUUGUUCCUCGGGUCUCCGGCUAGUUUCUUCGCUCAUCAGCUCGAUAAUUCAGGCAACAUUAGCAAUGCCUACUUUGCCUUUGGGGGCGGCAUGUUUAGAUACGAUUUUGUGGACGACGAGAGUGAGCUUGUCAAGUGGGUGCCUAUUAGAUUGAGCUACAACGAUGCAUGCGCGGUGUGGCUCCGCCCCAAGCUUACGUUUGCUCCGUCCAUGAGGUUCAAGAAGGGUCGAGGCUCAAAAGAAGGCGCCGUCAAUUUCUAAACUCAAACCACUACUUUGGCAACUCCAUUGUAGUCUUGUCUUGAAAUAUUCAGGGACCAAAAUAAGAAGGCGUUCUAGUUGGCGACCAUCUAUAUAUUUGGACACAAGGAUCCGGGUUUCCUUUUUUUGUUUUUUGAGAAUGGAAAUAAGAAUUGUUAUGAUUGUAUUUUGCAAUUUGCGGGAUUACAAUGCAUCUUAUCCGGCUUAGCUAUUGGUCAGGCAACAAAAAAAAACUUAUAAGAGGAAGACAUAAGCCGGAUGAAGAAAUAGAAAAGAGUGGAAUUGUCACAUACUAGUAGUUUUGUUUCCUCAAAACAAGAAACAAAAAAGGAAAGGACGAAUGAAGUAAAAAGAGAAAUGAAUGGAAUGCAAAAAUAAAGGAUUGGAGGUGCGGGGAAUCGAACCCCGUGCCUCUCGCAUGCGAAGCGAGCGCUCUACCAUAUGAGCUACACCCCCGUUUCUUGCUACCUCGGGACGCGUGAUCAAUUACUAAUUGGGUUUGUUCAAUUGCUAAUUACAUGUUGUAAUCAGUGGGAGCAGCAGGUCCUAAUUCCACUCUUUUCUAUUUCUUCAUCCGGCUUAUGUUUUCCUCCAAACUAGCCGGAUAAGAUGCAUUGAGAUCCCGCAAAUUGCAAAAUACAAUCAUAACAAUUCUUAUUUCCAUUCUCAAAAAACAAAGAAAACCCCAAAUCCUUGUGUCCAAAUAUAUAGAUCCAGGUCGCCAACUAGAACGCCUUCUUAUUUUGGUAGCCGAAUAUUUCGAGACAAAACUACAAUAAUGGAGUUGCUAAAAUAGUGAUUCACCCUUGUGAGUUUAGAAACUGAGCGCGCCUUCUUUUGAGCCUCAAGCCUUUCUUGAAUCUCAUGGACCUGAGCAAACGUAAGCUUGGAUAGGAGCCACACCGCGCACGCAUCGCUGUAGCUCAAUCUAAUAGGCAGCCACUUGACAAGCUCGCUCUCGUCGUCCACAAAAUUGUAUCUAAACACGCCGCCCUCAAAGGCAAAGUAGGCACUGCUGCUGCUGUUGCCUGCAUUAUCCAGCAACUGAGCGGAGAAACUAGCCGGAGAGCCGAGGAACAAGAUGCGGUUGCCAAGGUUCUGUCCAUCCUUGGCGACCCACCGCAUCUCGCCGCUGCCUGCCUUGUUAGAGUUGUGUCGCAUAUUGUGUACAAGGUAGGUUACAGUUGGACUAUGAGUUGUAUUGUGUUUACAUAGGAUGUGGAAUCGUGUCCUAGUAGGACACUUGUAUCCUAGGCCUCUCAUAUAUAGCGGAGGUAGACACACGAUGUAACCUAUGCCAACAUAAUAGUACAGGCGCGCAAGGGGGAGCUGGCGGGUGUGCCGGCGCCCGGGUGGCCGGUGUGCGGUAUUGUGAUGGUGUCAUGGGGAGGAGCGUCCAUAGUCAGGCCCCGAGGAUGUAGCCAUAUCGAUGAACCUCGUUAACAAAUCUCGGUGUCGUGCUUGUGUGAUUGCUUGGUCCUCGAAUGAUCGACAGGUGUGCCUCAGAUUUAUUCUAACAAGUGGUAUCAUGAGCAAGAUUUUGAAAAGGUUGUGGAAGUUGGUCUAGAGGAAGUAUCGAAUUCGAGAUGCAGCCGGUUGCGGUGUGGUUCUCGGCAAGAUUGAGGAAGCGAUCAGCGGAAAUUGGAUGGCCAUGCAAGCAGUCGAGACGUGCGGCGGUGGAUGAGGUGGAUCGAUCGGGCGAGCGUCAGGCGUCGUACGCGAGUUGCGACGCAACCCAGGUGCACGGUGUCAGUGGUGGCCCAAGGCCCUGGAUUGCUGAGGAGCCGUGCAAGUUGGAUGCAUACGGUGCGAGCUAGGAGUACAUACGAGAUUUGUUUGGAAAACAAAACCGGACCGAGUCCAGGGAGACUCGAACACGUGUCUCUGCGAUGGGUGUACCUGCGGUGGAGUAUAAAAACAGCAGCAGGCAGCCUCGUGACGAGACAAGGAGGCAGGCCAAAUCUAGCGGAAAAUUCCAUAUAGUGAUACACGUACAUCAGGAAAGUUGAGAAUUUGACAAAGCAAAUAGUUAGCAUCAGGAGUUAAAGCCAAGAUAGUUUUUUCACAGGGUCAGCCGUCCGAAGAACCAGGACGUCAACUAGUUCCAGGUUUGAGGUGAAGAAGUUCGUGGAACUGAAAACCUUGGGUUAUGGCAGACAAAAGUGAAAAAUUUGUUGGCGCAAUAGAGAUGCUUGAAGGCGUUGCAGGAAGUCACGUCAGCUAAGAUGGAAUUUCAUCACCAACCCAGAUUCGCUUUGUGCACGAGUUCUCAAGGGCCGUUACUUCCCAGACACCAAUUUCAUGCAUGCUCCAAUUCCCAAGUCAGCUUCGGCCACUUGGAAGGCAACUGUGGCGGGAAGGAAUGCCCUGAGGACAGAUUUAAUCUCCAGAGUGGGAGAUGGCUCUACCAUCUCAAUUUGGGAGGACAAGUGGAUCCCAGGCACGGUCUCUAUGGCACCAACUUAGAGGCCUACAAAUACAAACAUCGGUCGGGUGUCGGAUCUCAUCGAUACAGGGAGUUGGUCUUGGAAGCAUGACGUGAUCAGGGACAAUUUCACCGCCCAGGGUGUCGCGGCCAUUCUGAAUAUUCCUAUCAGGCAAGGCGGGGGUGAUGAUUUUCUCGCAUGGGCAUUUGAUAAAUCAUGUAACUACACUGUGAAGACGACUUACCGUGCUCUCGUGACUCAGAACGAGCGUUUGGCUCUAGAGGAAGGGACGGCUACCGAAACCUCAUCGGACGAUCAACAGUUGUGGAAAUCCUUGUGGAAGUUGAAUGUUAUCCCAAAAGUGCGAGUCUUCUGGUGGAGGGUGUUACGUGGCAUUCUUCCAGAUGAAGCUACUCUCAAUCAUCGACACAUUCCAGAUUUUCGUCAAUGCAAUGUCUGCCGCUCUAUGGAGGAGGAUUUGAAGCAUGCGCUGAUUCAUUGUACACAUGCACAGUGCUUCUGGGAAGAGGCGUGGACAUGGCUUGGUCUUCGCCUUCCCCCUCUCCACUCGGAUACUUGGGCACGAGACAUCACAUGUGAUCCUCAGUUCACAUCCGAUGAACGUGCCAAGAUCACUACUACCAUGUGGUCAAUGGCAUUACAGGAACCGAAUCAAACAUGGAGACGAGGGGAGAGACCCUAUAGCAACUAUCGGAAAUAUCAAGGAUUCUAUCUCCCUCCUUCAGCUACCUCGUAAGGAAACCCUGGUUCUACCGGUUAUGGUGGGCGGCCCCCGGAAGUGGGUUCGGUCAACAUCACAACCGACGGUGCUCUGAAUUUUGAUGAAGGCCGGGGCGGUGCAGGAGGAGUGGCCCGAUCGUCCUCUGCUCCUAGGUUCUUGGUGCAAACCAUACAUGGGAGUUUCAGAUCCCUUGAUGAUGGAGUGUUUGUCGCUGCGAGAUGGAGUAUGCUUUGCUUGUCUGAGGAUUUCCGCAUGUGAUUAUGGAAGUCGACUGUUUAGAACUAGUGAAGUUCUGGUAAUCUCGCCACAAUUCUCGUUCAAUUGUGGCUCCUUUACUUUUGGAAAUAGGAGAGCUCUGUACUACUUUUUCUUCAUUUGGUAUUCAGCAUGUAAAUCGGGUGGCGAUCGUUCCGGUGCAUUUGUGUGCGAAGCGUGCUUGCACACUGAAUGUGACAGAAAGCUGGCUCGAUGAAACCCCUAGCUUCUUGGUCACCAUCCUUUUGGCUGACUGCACCGAGUGUGCUUUCAAUGAAUAAAUCUCUCUAAUUUUCCCGCAAAAAAGACCGGCCAAGCGCUCGGCCGAUCUCCUCCCUCACGCGUGUCCAAUGCCGGGGCCAGGAGCCUUAUCUCCUCCACUGCUUCUCUUUUCUUAGCCACAAACGCAGUGCGUCUUCAUCCUCUAUCCAAUCCCCUCCCUUUCCCUUUCCUUCCUCAUUUCAUCUCCAGUGAGAGCUCUCCACCACACCAUCUCCUCUAGCCAUGCCGGCACGCGAGGUCGCCGGCGUCGAAGGCGGCUGGGCUUGUUGAUACGUCUCCAACGUAUCUAUAAUUUUUGAUUGUUCCAUGCUAUUAUAUUACCCCUUUUGGAUGUUUAUGGGCUUUAUUUUAUACAUUUAUAUCAUUUUGGGACUAACCUACUAACCGGAGGCCCAACCCGUAUUGCUGUUUUUUUGCCUAUUUCAGUAUUUCGAAGAAAAGGAAUAUCAAACGGAGUCCAAACGGAAUGAAACCUUCGGGAGCAAUCUUUUUGGAACAAACGUGAUCUAGAGGACUUGAAGUGCAAGUCAAGAAGCAGCCGAGGCGGCCACGAGAGGGUAGGGCGCCCCCCCUACAGGGCGCGCCCCCUGUCUCGUGGGCCCCUCGGGCGGCCACCGACCUACUUCUUCCUCCUAUAUAUACCUACGUACCCUGAAAACAUCCAGGGAGCAACCAAAACACAAUUUCCACCGCCGUAACCUUCUGUAUCCGCGAGAUCCCAUCUUGGAGCCUUCGCCGGUGCUCCGCCGGAGGGGGAAUCGAUCACGGAGGGCUUCUACAUCAACACCAUAGCCCCUCCGAUGAGUUGUGAGUAGCUUACCACAGAUCUUCGGGUCCAUAGUUAUUAGCUAGAUGGCUUCUUCUCUCUUUUUGGAUCUCAAUACAAUGUUCUCCCCCUCUCUUGUGGAGAUCUAUUCGAUGUAAACUCUUUUUGCGGUGUGUUUGUCGAGAUCCGAUGAAUUGUGGGUCUAUGAUCAAGUUUAUCUAUGAGAAAUAUUUGAAUCUCUUCUGAAUUCUUUUAUGUAUGAUUGGUUAUCUUUGCAAAUCUCUUCGAAUUAUCAGUUUGGUUUGGCCUACUAGAUUGAUCUUUCUUGCCAUGGGAGAAGUGCUUAGUUUUGGGUUCAAUCUUGCGGUGUCCUUACCCAGUGACAGAAAGGGUUGCAAGGCACGUAUUGUAUUGUUGCCAUCGAGGAUAAAAAGAUGGGGUUUAUAUCAUAUUGCAUGAGUUUAUCCCUCUACAUCAUGCCAUCUUGCUUAAUGCGUUACUCUGUUCUUUAUGAACUUAAUACUCUAGAUGCAGGCAGGAGUCGGUCGACGUGUGAAGUAAUAGUAGUAGAUGCAGGCAGGAGUCGGUCUACUUGUCACGGACGUGAUGCCUAUAUACAUGAUCAUGCCUAGAUAAUCUCAUAAUUAUUCGCUUUUCUAUCAAUUGCUCGACAAUAAUUUGUUCACCCACCGUAAUACUUAUGCUAUCUUGAGAGAAGCCUCUAGUGAAAUCUAUGGCCUCUGGGUCUAUCUUUUAUCAUAUUUGCUUUCAAUCUACUUUUAUUUGCAUCUUUACUUUUUGCAUCUAUAUUAUAAAAUAUCAAAAAUAUAUUUAUCUUAUCAUAUUAUCUCUAUCAGAUCUCACUUUCGCAAGUGGCCGUGAAGGGAUUGACAACCCCUUUAUUGCGUUGGUUGCGAGUUUUUUGUUUGUUUGUGUAGGUGCGUGGGACUUUCUUGGAGCUUCCUACUGGAUUGAUACCUUGGUUCUCAAAAACUGAGGGAAAUACUUACGCUACUGUGCUGCAUCACCCCUUCCUACAUGGGAGUUUCAGAUCCCUUGGUGAUGGAGUGUUUGUCGCUGCGAGAUGGAGUACGCUUUGCUUGUCUUCGAGGAUUUCCGCAUGUGAUUAUGGAAGUCGACGUUUAGAACUAGUGAAGUUCUGGUAAUCUCGCCACAAUUCUCGUUCAAUUGUGGCUCCUUUACUUUUGGAAAUAGGAGAGCUCUGUACUACUUUUUCUUCAUUUGGUAUUCAGCAUGUAAAUCGGGCGGCGAUCAUUCCGGCGCAUUUGUGUGCGAAGCGUGCUUGCACACUGAAUGUGACGGAAAGCUGGCUCGAUGAAACCCCUAGCUUCUUGGUCACCAGCCUUUUGGCUGACUGCACCGAGUGUGCUUUCAAUGAAUAAAGCUCUCCAAUUUUCCCGCAAAAAAAGACCGGCCGAGCGCUCGGCCGGUCUCCUCCCUCACGCGUGUCCAGUGCCGGGGCCAGGAGCCUUAUCUCCUCCACUGCUUCUCUUUUCUUAGCCACAAACACAGUGCGUCUUCAUCCUCUAUCCAAUCCCCUCCCUUUCCCUUUCCUUCCUCAUUUCAUCUCUAGCGAGAGCUCUCCACCACACCAUCUCCUCUAGCCAUGUCGGCACGCGAGGUCGCCGGUGUCGAAGGCGGCUGGGCUUGUGUGCUGCAACCGGCCAUGACGGGCAGCCGCGCGGCCGAGGCAAUGGCCUGGCCAUGCACCGCUCACGCAUCCGUUGUCCUUCGGUGUCGUGCCGCACGCUUCGACGAGCCUAAGCUACGAGCGGCGCCGGCCAGCGGAGAAGAUGUGAACUGCAGCGAGCGUGCUACAACCCGCCUUACCAGAAGCUGGGACCGCGUCAUGGGGUGCUGCAACCGGGAAGGCGUGAAAGAGUUGCGACAGGUUGGGCGGCAUGCGGCAACGAUGUCGACGAUGCUGGAACCAGCCAGCCUUUUUGCUAGAAUUGGCGACACGAGGUGCUACAACCAUCCCAGCAAAAUGUUGGAACCAACAGCCGCAGCCUCCAGCAGGUUUUUUUUGCUUCAACCAUCCAUUGUUUUUGCUGGAAGCAUCAAGCAUUUUUGCUGGAACCAGCUAUUUUCCAUGGAUGCGAGUACAAAAGCUUUUUGCGUGUUUUUGCUGGGAUCGCCAUUUUUGGGCGGCCGGUGAGAAAUUUUGCUUCAACCAGCCAUCUGUUUUGUUGGAAGCAUCAAGAUUUUUUGCUACCACCUUGUUUUGAUUUCUUUUUGCUGGAACUAGCCUAAAAAUUGCUAUCACCUUCUUUCUAUUUUGUUGGAACCAACAUUUUUUUUGCUUCAAUCGAGUAACUCGAGAUUUUUAGUUUUGCUUAAAUUUUCUUGCUGGAUGCGGCCAAUUCAUUUGCUACAAACAACUUUUUGAAAGCUACAACCAAAGAAAGGCGACGAGGAUGAAGGCUAGGGACUGCGACCAGUGAGGAGUUGCCGUGAAUCCCGGCAACGAGAUCUAGCAUGGAGCGAUAGGGAGGCAGCUUGGUGCUGCGACCGAGGGGCAGCGGGAGAGCGCGGCGUGCGGAACUGGCGAGCUGCACGAGAUGCGGUUUCGCGGGAGAUGCGGAAGGCGACGGGUGUUGCGUGAGGAAGAAAAAGCUUUUGGGGACAAAGCAUUUUUUUAAUCCAAUAGACGAGAUGGCUGACAUGUGACGACGUGGGCGUGACCGGCCAAAACAUUGGGCCGGCGCGCCGGCGCCAAUCAGUCACCAAAAAAAAGAUGAAGACACAUAUCUUGUAUUCAAAAGGCCAAAAACCAAACAUAAAAUAAGCAGUUAGCAAAAGGAAGCAGUUAGCAAUAGGAGAGGCGAAAAGGAGGUUCCCCUCGAUCCCUCGUUCCGCGAACGGCCGGAUUGACGGUCCCCUCCCUCUCCGGCUGCUGCUUUGGCAGCGGGAGAUUGGGGGGGGGGCACAGAUCCGUCCUUGAAGCGUGUAGAUAGUAGGGUAGUUGUCUCCAGCGACGCUGGCAAGGUGGUGGUGGUGACGUUGCUUUGGAAUAAAAGUGUUGGAGGUCGAUUCCCAUCUCGGCGAGGCCAUUUGUGGCGGAGCCGAUGAUCUUCCGGCAUUGGUGGCUCGAGGAUCCAUUGAUCUAUGGAGUAUGCGUGGACUUCAGAUCAAAGCUCUCACUGGUUUUCGGUCGACUUCAAUGGUGGAGCACUACUAGGGAAAAGUCUGUACACAGAACUUUAGCAGUAGCGCGUGUUAAAAAAGGGCGCUACUGCUAGGAAGCAGUAGCGCGCGCGAAAAAACCACGCUGCAGAUACAAGUAUAGCAGUAGCGCGUCUGUCUGUAAAAGCGCUACUACAAAAAUUCCCACAACUAAGCCGAUCGGCUACACAUAGUAGUAGCGCUCUUUUAGAAACAACGCUACCACUAACUUUGUUGUAGCAGCGCGUUUAUGUGUAAGGCACUACUGCUAACAAAAAUAAAAUAAAAUGAAAAACAAGUAGAAAAGUAAAUGAAAAUGAAAGAAAUAGAAAAAAAGAGAAAGGAAAAAAAAUAAAAUGUAAAGAAAAUUAAAUGAAAAAAAGGGAAAAAGGAGAAAGGAAUAGCAGUAGCGCGUUUCAGGAAACGCGCUGUGGCUAACUUAGCUAUAGCGCGUUUUCAGGAACGCGCUACCGUUAUGUUUCACUUAAACAACGGUUUCCCCCCCGGCCACCACUUCUUCCCCAAAUCCCUCGCCCUCGCCGCCAUCUUCCCAAUUCACCGUCGCCCCACUUCGCCGCCGUCUCCUACCGGCGUGGACGCCCGCAACCUCACUGUCUUCCCCCGAGGCCGCCCUCAGCCUCACCGCUGCCGCCCGAGGCCACCCUCGACCUCACCGUCGCCGCCCUCCACCUCACCGCCGCCCGAGCCCGCCCAGGACCGCCGUUGCCCGUGCCCGAGCCCGCCCUCUCCGCCCCUGCCUCCGUCGCCGAGCACCUCCCCACCACCGUCUCUCCCCUCUCUGUAAGUCCCCCACCCCUCCCACCCACUCCUCUCUCUCUCUGCAUUUUAGAGCAAAAAUUAUUAGAGCAAAAGUUAGUCUAUAGCAAAAAAUUUAGUUAAGAGCAAAGGAUGUUAAGUAGUAGAUGUUAGAGCAAAAAUUAGUUUAGAGCAAAAAAUUUGGUUUACAGCAAAAGUUAGUUAGGGCAGUAGGGUUUAAUUAGGGUAGAUGCUGCUUGUAUAGUAUAUAGUGAUACUAGUAGAUGUUAAUUAGGUUAGGGCAGUAGUGGUACUAGUACAUGUUAAUUAGAUGUUUUUCAGUUAGGGCAGUAGAGUUUUGCUAGGUUAAUUAGGUUAGUAGUGCUGCUAGUAGUAGUGGUACAGUAGGUUAAUUAGGUGAAGUUAAAUGAAUAACCUAAAUGAAUGAAAUUAGUAGUUAACUGAAUUUUUUUCCUUUCAUCAUUAUAGAGCACUAAAGUUAACUGAAUUUUGUUCUAUUAGCAGUUAAUUGAAUUUUCUUCUACACUUUGUUUUUGAAUUAGCUUGUGAAAUUUGGACAUGUGGUUGCUCGUGUAUAUUUGGACAUGUGUUGCGGUGUCGAAGAGGGAUAUUUGAACACCGUUUCCAGGAAUGAUGCUGAGUGGCCUAUGUUUUGCCGGAAUGUUGAUUCAUUUCUGUUCCGGCAAAUUUCAGGUUCUCGAUUUGUCCACUUUUUAGCAAUGGUCAUGCCGAAAUUUUCCGUGAAUUUCGGUAUGACUUGUGCUACAAACUAGGACAUAUCGAGUGUCCAGGAUUUGCCGCACCAGAAAGGAGUCAACAUUCCUGCAAAACAAUAGGCCUUUUUUAUGUCAUUAUUCAUUUUAUUAGGUCUAGAAUUAAUUGACUAGAUUUAAUCAUAGGAAACAUGGCUAGCAACGAUGAAGGACAGGGUUCUGGUGAUUGCGACGAUGUCUACCGGGUGGCAGACGAAUUUUUUAGCCUUGCCGACGAUCAACCAAUGUUGUUGCUGGGCCCACCGGUGGCAUCGAGGACUGAGACCGACACACAGACCGGUGCUGAGACUGAGACCGGUGCUGAGACUCAGACCGGCAUCGAGACCGGCGCUGAGACUGAGACCGGCGCUGCCUCGGGGAGCGGAGCCGGUGUAGAACCGAAAGCAAAGAGGCAACGGCUUCCUAACAAACUCAGGACUACUAGACUGGUGGUCACGGAGGUGGACGACGGCAAUUUUGAGCCAAAGGCGCCCGAGGAAGCGCGUCGAUGCUACGACAAUCAAAUAGGCUGCAUCGUACGGACAACCGCCACCAUCAACGACGAGAAACUACAGAAGAUAGAAAAUAUGAGGAGCUCCCUCCUAAAGAAGUUUCACCAGAUAUUCUUGUUCCCGGGCCGGAAUGAGAAGGAUUAUGAAGAUCCAGAUGAGGACCCGGCAAUGAAGAAGAUAAACAAACACGCCAUGACCAAGUUUAGCGACGCGUUGGCCGUCUGGAAAAAUCAAGUGAAAGCAAAGAUCAUCGACAAGAAGGAACCCUACUCUGAGAUUGUAAAGGAUAAUCCGACAAUCACGGAAGAGCAGUUUCAAAUAUUUAAGGAGGCUUGCGAGGCCGAAGCUGCCAGAAAAAAGUCUAAGUACAUGAAGGGGCUUCAAGAGAGGAACAUUGGGAGCCACCACCUCGGAAGCCGUGGUUACGGCGGAAAAAGGUCCAAAUGAGCCAAGGAGGACGCGGAAGCCGCGAGUCUGGGCAUCCCAGACCCCUUGGCGGAUUUCACCGUCCCGCAGGAGCGUGACGUCCUCAGGGACCGGCACCGUUGGGAUCCAGUGAAGAAGGUUUACGAGACAAAACUGGUCAUUACGGAGUUCAUGAGACGGCUGGUAAUUUUAGUUUCUGAUCAAUUCGAAUGCACACGUUAGUCAUAUUUGUAAACGAUCCUUGUGCCUUUUGCAGAGAGAGCAGCACCGGAUUGCGGCCGAAAGCGACUCGCCGUCUGAGGCAUUGACGAGGCCCAAGUGGGACACUCCAUUCAACCGGGCGUUGAACAUAUUGAAACGACAACCGGUGGAUACUCAACCGUCAUAUGGACGCGUGCACGGUGUCGGAGACGGCGCCACGUGGAAGAAGUACUACCUUGAGACCACGGAGGAGAGAAAGGAAAGAGGGAGGUUAACUAAAGAAAACAUCGACAAGAAGUUUGAGAUUGCGGUUGAGAAGAAAUCAUCUCAGAUAAUCACAACAACGGUAGCUGCCGCAAAACAGGUGGUUGCAGAUUUGUCUACUUCCUUGGUGAUGGGCGUUUUCACUUGGACAAGGCAAAAUCUAGAAAAAAAUGCAGAGGACUUUCCCCUUGCUGACUUCUUGGGGAGCAGCUCGACUAGCGUUGCACCAGCACCUGCUCCCGCACCGGCUCCUGCACCGGACGUGCUCGGUGGUGCUUCAUCUUUGGCUGAGCUCGACGCCCUCACGGUAUCUGUCACACCGGCCCCCUUCAAUAUAAAUGUAUAAUCUCCCGUUUUCGUUGCCUUUCUAUGUCUCACGUCGCAGACUUUUCUUUGCAGGCCGACGAAACCCCGUACACCAUAUUGUACAUCAUCGGCGACCAGAAGGUGGACGUGGGGAAGGCGACGAUAAUGGAGCCGAAGGAACCAUUGUUCCACAGCCGGCCGAUCCCCCCGAAUGUCUUCAAGGUUUCCGUGGCCAGUGUCAAACCGGGCCACGAGAAUUUGCCUCCUCCAAUACUAGUGGGGGAUGACGACGAGACACCGCGUCGGCUUGGUGAUUGUUGCAAUGGGUGGGUCCUGUUGUGGCCAAAGAGUCUGCCUCGUCUGGAGGCGGCCGGGAGCACACCCACGAGCACGCAGCCUCAGCAAGGUAUGAACAUCAACACCCCACCUACCCAAUUAGCGUCGGGUGUCAGGUUGGGUGAUAGCGGACGAGGUAAGGAGGAGGCUCCAUUAGUCGCUGAUGACAUCGCCAUGGAUGAGGAUGAGGAUGACGAUGGCGCUGAAUAGUAUGUCUAUACUGGCGCCUCCUCAGGGUUUGAGCGUCAUGAGUCGGUGCCUGAAAUACCGUCUCAACGUAUUAUGGACGACCUUCCGGUAGUAAAGAAGUCUAGGAAGAGAGCGAGGAAAGGCAAAAAAGCUGAUUCUAUGAUCCAGCCGCCUCAGCAGCCUCGGCUUCAGGACCGUAUAGAUAUCCCCGAUGCGGAUAAAUGGCAUAUCCCCGGUCAACCAAUCCUACCUGCAACAGCGCUACGAGCCAGAUACGACGAUCUAAGGAGACUUCAUGACGAUGUGCUGCGGGUAUAGAAAGGCCUCAUCGCCUCGAAAGAUCCAGGAUACCCACUCUAUGUGGUUAACGUUCCGCGGCAAAUGUUGUACGUCGACAGCUUCCCCGCGGAUAAGUUCUUCCUCCUAUUCGAUUACAUAUUCGACAUGUUUCACGUGAAGAAGCUGGAUUUUACGUUUGUCCGCCUUUAUGCCUUGCACAUGAACUACAUCAUCGGGGUUGAGCAGAUAUCUCAUAUCUGUGUCGCUGACCUGUACUACAUGCACGAGGGCUUCUUGGGAGUCUGUGCAAAGCAUCGUGAAUACGCGAGGGAUUACAUCGUCAGUUUCAUGCUCGCCAAUAAGGACAAGGAAGCGAUUCUCGUGCCUUAUCAUCCCGUGUAAGUUAUCCGCGCUGCUAUCCUUCCUUCGAUUUCAAUCAUUCAUUUGCACGGUGGAGGCUAAUUAAUUUGAGGUGUACUUAUUUGGCGCAGCGGCGGGCGCGCCGUCCUCAUCAUCCUCUACCCCCGAUUCUUCGACGCUCUUUACUUGGACUCGUCGAAGAACAUUCAUAAAAAGGAUUACACCCACAUCAAGGAUGUUCUUGACAGUGCUAUGUUUUACUACCAAGCAAGUGGUGGAGAGGUCAGGGACAAGAAGAGAAGGGGCGGCAGGCCCACCUUCAUCCAUAAGACCGACUUCUGCUGCAUCCAGCAACCGAACGAUUCUCUUAAUGAUGGAUUCUAUGUCCUACACCACAUGCUGGAGUACAGACGGGAUCACCAGAACCUUCGCAUAUCACCUAGAUCCGGCGAUGCCCAUAUUCUGCAAUGGGCGAAGGACAUAGGAGAUAUCGAGGAUCAUCGACUUCGAGCUGAGUUCUAUAACAUCCAGCGGGAACUUGCCCAAAUCAUCAUGAAGGAGGUCGUCGAAAAAACAGGGAUGUUCUACGGAGAAGGACAAAUGUCGCGGUAAGACGUCCGAACAUGGAUAGCCUCUCAGCGUCUCGACAUGAAGCCUUUCACUAAGCUCGACGACUAUCUCCCUGACUUGGAUGGAUGGCAUGACAUGUUGGAGUGAUUGUCGAUAUAUGACAAUGUGUCCGUUUAGUCGAUACUUUCUGUAUGACAGAACUUUGAGUUAUGCACGGUGAAACUUUAUUUGUGAUGUAAUUAAACCGUCCUCCUCCUCGACUAGCGAAAAUCACUCUAGUUAGGGCAUUUUGGGGUACGAUGAACUUUGUUAUUUAUGCUUAUGAUAUGUUGUUUCUAUUUUUGCCAAGUCUGUCUCUUUCUGUUGCUCAACUAUAUAUGUUGCAUAUCAUCGACUCAUGUGACGAUGCAGGUGCAUAGAUCAUAGAUGGCGAAGAAGUGCUACGCCAGGAGUAUAUAUACGAUAAGUGGCCGGAGUGUCAGGCCCAGGUGUACCAGUUUCCGGUUUCCGAGCGACAGGCAGUAGUUAGUUUAGGUUCACGCUAAUGCGAGAGAGGGAUACGAACUCAUGUACUCAAAGUGAUAGCUCUUCUCGCGUAUAUCAUUGUUUAGAUGGAUGACGAUGUAUUUGCAAGUAAUCGAGACUUGUAUCGCUAUUUUCGAGAUGAUGACGAGAGACCACUUUCUGUUGGAUGAUGAUUAUGAUGAUGACAUAAUUUGAUGAGACUAAUUGUAUGUAUAUGCUAUGAUUACAUUUGUAUGUGUAUGAUAUGCUAAAGAUUAUUGUAUAAAGCCUAUUCAAAUACAAAACAAAUACAAAACAAAUAUGCAGGGAAAAAAUUAAUAAAACUAGUAGUAGCGAGGGGGGAAAUUUAGCAGUAGCGCCGCCUUACCAGUAGCGCUUCCCAGUAAACAGCGCUGCAGAUAAUAUCAGCAGCGCCCUUUUCUAAAGAGCGCUACAGCUAUUCAUGUAUAUCAGUAGUGUGGGACAACAGGCGCUACUGCUAUACGUUAGCUGUAGCGCCUUAUUAGUAGCGCCGGUCCCCGAGCUACUGAGAGGCCCAAAAUCCGCGCUGCUGCUAGGCUUUUCCCUAGUAGUGGAGCAUCACCCGAUCUAUCCUCUCUCCAGAGUGAUGGUCCUCUCAGGCCGAGGUUGUCUACUUCCCGUUCGUGUUCAUUCCGGACGCAGUCUACAAGGUCUCGCCGGCUCUGCCUAUGAGCGGCGGCGGCAGUAGCGGCGGCGCGCCGUCAGCCCGCGCUGGUUUGUUGGGUGGGUUGGUUCCCCAGGGACCCGGUUGUAACUUCUAUAUUUCUUGUGGUGCUUUGUACCACUAUUCCUUUGCAAUUUAAUCUGAGGUCCUUCCCGCAAAAAAACAAAAAACCAAUAUGACCAGCUUGCGGGGGCUGAUCGGGCGGCUUCAUGUCUUGCUGGCCCGGCAAUAUCCGAUCUCCAGGGGCGGGCUGCCCCUGUCGUGGCGUCCCGGUGGUGGGGGAGGCUUCGUGGCAGUGGUGGGCCCCUUCUUCCUUCUCCUCUUCUCUGGCGGCUGGGAUGGGCGAGGGAGCGCAACGGGUGGAUUCCACCGUUGGUUGCGAGCGUUUAUGUUUUUUAGAUGCGUACUUCGGGUACCACCAGAUCUGAAUGUAUGGUCCUGAUGAAAUAAAAACGGCAUUUAUCAUCCCUUUCGGGUGCUUUUGCUAUAUCAUGAUGUCAUUCGGACUUAAGAAUGCAGCCGCAAGUUUUCAGCGCAUGAUCCAAAAGUGGUUGCAAAAGCAGAUCAGUCGGAAUGUGAAGGCCUACAUGGAUGACAUCAUGGUCAAGUCUAGCAAAGGUUCCGACCUCCUAGUAGACCUCGUCGAGACCUUCAUGAACCUGGGGCUUUUGGAAUCAAGCUUAAACUUGUGAAAUGUGUUUUUGGGGUUCCAGCUGGCAGACUACUCGGUUUCCUUGUUUCCGAACGAGGAAUCAAGACCAACCCCGAAAGAAUUGGCUCAAUUAUCCGAAUGAAGAAACCAGAACAUCUUCAUGACGUCCAACGGCUCACGGGCUGUCUUGCAGCCUUAAGCAGAUUCAUAUCAAGACUCGGAGAGAAAGCCCUGCCGCUUUACCAGCUAAUGAAAAAACAAACAAAUUUGAAUGGAGGAAUGAAGCGCAAGCUGCGUUCGAGGAACUCAAAGCUAUGUUUUCCACCAACUGAUGCUUGUCACUCCGAGUGACAAAGAACUGUUGCUGCUAUACAUAUCAGCUACAAGUCAAGUGAUCAGCACAGUACUCACAGUCAAACGUGAGGAACAGGUUAAAACCUUGAAAGUGCAGAGGCCCGUAUAGUACAUUUCAGAGGCGUUGAGCCCUUCCAAGCAGCGUCAUCCAUACUAUCUGAAACUGGUUUAUGGAAUCUAUCUGACUGCAAAGAAGGUGGCACACUACUACCAAGAGCAUUCGGUCACGGUGGUCAAUGAUGCUUCCUUAUCAGAAAUCAUGAAUAACAUAUAUGUAACUAGCCGAUUGGUCAAAAGGGCCAUUGAACUCUUGCUUUUGGACAUCAAAUUUGAGGCGAAAAAAGCUAUCAAGUCACAAACUCCAGUAGAUUUUCUAGCCGAUUAGUUGGAGGCAUGUAUGCUGGCUUCCUCCCUUGAUUCAAGUCUCUUGCCAGAUUGGUUGAGGCCAGAUCGGAGGUGACAGGAGAGGAUCUCAAGCUCAUUGUUGAUGGCGCUAGCGUGAUUCAGAUGAUGUGACAGCAAUGGAGGCGACCUAGGAGAUAGCGUCUCUUCAUCGUUGUGGUUGUUUUUUUAGAAAAGGAGAAGGACCCCUGGCCUCUGCAUCUGGACGAUGUAUGUAGCCAUUUUAUUAAUUAUUCACACAAGAUCUUACAAAGUCAUACAACAGUAAGACUAAAGUCGCCGUCUAGGCAACAUCCGUCGCUACUCCUAUCCAGUUGAUGAAGCGAUGCUGAUAGUCUGGGCCUAAUACCAAACAGACCUCGCAGCCAAACUUAACACCUAAGACUCGAGGUCCCAACCAGGACGCCUGCCGGGUAUGGGGCACCCACCAAUCCGACGCACUCCUCAACCAGAACGCCUGCCGGGUAUGAGGCCGCCACAGCCACCUGCCACCAAUCCAUCUUCAGUGUUGUACUGUUGCAUCUAUCUUGCCCAGUCUAGCUGCCGUCAACGCCACCAUGACGCCAGACAGUGCCACCUCCCUGCGCGCGUCCAUUGUCACACAUCUGUCGGCGAGACCCCGCUACGCCACGCCGCCGAGACCAGUCGUCGAUGACGUGAUAGACACCACGCCGCUCCACCACCUUGCCAGGCCAGCUGUCGACGCCACCAUGGCGCCAGACAGCGCCACCGCCCUGCACGAGGCCAUCACGCCACGUCUAGCACCGAGACUCCGCUGCUCCAUGCCGCUGGGACCCGCCGUCGUCGACGCGAGAGAAGGCACGCCACACCACCUCACGCCUCUUCCAUCCGGCGCCGCUCCACAAACGAUGCCCCCUAGAGGGAACACAGCACAAAAACACCGCCAUCGUCCGAUCCGGUGAUCUUAGGAUUUCUCUCGGUGCGGCACGAGCAGGUUGACGAUAGUUGCUUGACGAUGCCUUCAUCAAGGUAACGACGUAGACGCCGCCAUCGCCCGCCAUGACAGGAGUCGGCUCGGUUUCCACCAGCGACUAUGUCUCCCCAACUCGCCACCGGUGCUAAUAGUGGGAUCCAAGAUCCGUCACUACCAGCCUGGCCAACUGCCUUCGAUGGAGAAGGCAGCCACCACCACCAUGCCCGGGCCAAGAGACCCGAACGUCCUCGUGCCGCAAAGAUUACCAAAGGGGGGGGGGGGUCUCCUCUUGACGUUGUCGAGACGAAGCGCAGCCGCAGUGGAUCUCGAUCUAAACCCCUCGGGCCUAGAUCAGAUCUCAUCGUAGCCAAAAUCUCAUCCGCCAGCGGCCGCCGGAAAUCUCCUGGCCACCGCCAACCCGCUGCGCACUGCCAUUGGAGGAGGAGGGAGAUGGACGUCGCUCCCCCCACGCGUUACCGCUGGCCGAGGACUGCGCCGCCGCUGCCGCCUCACCACAAGGGCUUCGCCCCGCGGCGUCCUCAGCGACGGCGGCGGUAGUGGGAGGCGAUGGAGGGGGAGGGCUGAGGGCGGUGUAGACGGGAACUCCCCGGGGGCGGCGCGGCGCCGCCGCCUCGGGGGAGAGAGGUCGGGGGAGCCAUGCGGUUGUGGCGUCAUAUAUACUUCUUUGAAACCUUGUCUGCUGCUUGCUGAAAUACUACUACUUACUUCAGUGCUAGCUGUAUAAGUAUUAUAGUGUGUACUGUAUGACUAUGGAGAAAAUUGUACUAGAAUUUUUUUGGGAUGAAGCUGUGGUAUAAAAUACCCUGGAAAAUUAUCUUAUUCUUAUCUGUGACAACAACAUAUGCCCAGCUGGUCUGGUCUCAUGUAUAUGUAUAGGUAUAGCAGCCGGAGCCCGACCUGGUUUACAUAUAAAGAGUAGAAGAAGCAAUCAGUCAAUCAAUCUGGUUUAUAUUAAAGCUGAUGGCUAGUUGGGAAGCCGCCUAGAAUUAUUCUGCUCAUUUGUUCAACCAUCAUAACAUCCCACACAAAUGAUUAUUCUGCUCAUUUAUUAUCGAAUUAUUAUUCGAUAAUCAAAAUAUGGCAGAGUACGUAUUCAAAUACACAUCACAUCAUAAGCCAAGGGCGACCAAGCCAAGUCUCCAACGCGAGAAUACAUUUCCACUAGAAACUAGAAAAACUUAUAGAUAUCACCGUCCGGUUGUGUGUGUAUGUUUAAAUAAAUUAGGUGCUAAUUAAGGUGCAGAGAGACAAUUACUUUUUUCCGAUAAAAGGGCGAUUUUACUAUCUCAAAUGUAGCAUCAAGCGGAUACAAAACAUUAUGAGUAACACCCGGCCUCUGCAUAGUUAGGAUGCACACAGCCAAACACCAAAUUCUGACACUAGAAAAUGAAACAAAACCGACAAAUCGGCAACAAGUAGAGUCCUAUAAACCGACACUUUGCCUAUGUUGAAAGCGGCGGUGAAUCGAUCUGAAGGUUAUGCUGCCACCCAUGUUGAGAAAAAACCUACGUAACCACCUGCUCCCAUCACGUACACACCGUCUUGAACAUCGGUUGGUGCUCAAGUCAACUGUUCCAGGCAAAAAAUAGACAAUGACUUGUACACUCAAGUAAUGGCCGGCUGCUAUACAAGUAGUAUAUACUACGUAAGUUACUAACAGCUCCAGACAAUGACUAAUAUGAAAAAAAAAUAGGCAAAUGAUGGAAGCACCCAAGUCAUGGGCUGCGAAUAACUUCCAGAGUAGCUAGACCAAAAAAAAACCAUUUAUACUCGGGCUUCUCGGGCGGUACCGACAUCACCCUUGAUGGCACAGCCACGGUUACACCAGAUGGGGUUCUCAAGCUCACCAAUGACACUCUUCACCUCAAGGGCCAUGCUUUCUACCCAACCCCAUGGCGAUUCCGCAAGUCGCCAACGGGGCGGUGCAAUUUUUCUCCAUCACAUUCGUGGUCGGCAUGGUCCCUGUCUACUCCGAUCAAUGUACUGAUGGCAUGACUUUCUUGAUAUCUCCCACCAAGGAUUUCUCGGGUGCACAACACUCUCAAACCUGAGCCUCCUCAACAAAACAAGCAAUGGCAAGCCAAGCAACCAGAUAUUUGCAGUCGAGCUUGAUAGCAGCCAAAAUACAGAGUUCGGCGACGUCGAUGACAACCAUGUCGGCAUCGACAUCAAUAGCCUCACCUCCACUGAAGCCCGACCGUCUGGCUUCUAUGAUGACAAGAGCAACGGCGUCUUCAACAACUUGUCCCUCGUUAGCCGCAAGGAAAUGCAAGUGUGGGUAGAUUAUGAUAGAGAUACCACUUAGAUCAGUGUGACCUUGGCCCCCCUCAAGGUAGCCAAACCGUGGAGGCGACUAGUUUCAACCACGUACAACGGCCUCUCAACAGUACUACAAGAUCAGUCCUACCUCGGAUUCUCGGCUUCAACUGGUCCGAUAAACUCACUGUAUUGUGUGCUUGGCUGGAGCUUGGGCAUAAACCGUCCUGCACCAGACAUUGACAUCACCAAGCUGCCAAAGCUACCUCGGAUUGGCCCCAAACCUCAGCCCAAAUUUAUGCAGAUCGUCCUACCAAUAGCCACUGCCACAUUCAUCUUUCUUGUUGGAACAACUAUAUAUAAUUCUAUUGGUGCGGAGGCGAAGGAGGUAUGCCGAGCUACACGAAGAUUGGGAGGAUGAGUAUGGGCCACACCCCUUCCUUCUCCNNNNNNNNNNNNNNNNNNNNNNNNNNNNNNNNNNNNNNNNNNNNNNNNNNNNNNNNNNNNNNNNNNNNNNNNNNNNNNNNNNNNNNNNNNNNNNNNNNNNNNNNNNNNNNNNNNNNNNNNNNNNNNNNNNNNNNNNNNNNNNNNNNNNNNNNNNNNNNNNNNNNNNNNNNNNNNNNNNNNNNNNNNNNNNNNNNNNNNNNNNNNNNNNNNNNNNNNNNNNNNNNNNNNNNNNNNNNNNNNNNNNNNNNNNNNNCAUACGGCCACAUUUAUAAAUAAAUAAAGUAGUUCAACAAUGUCUUGCAAAGUGCUGCAACAAAGGAUACUGGCUCACAAAGAGCUAGCAAAAUAAAACAAGGCCCAAAAGCCACAACCGGCUGGCAUAGUAAAGAGAGAUAGGUAAACUAAGCGCCUAUCCUAUUACAUGACCGCCAUUCAAACCGGUUGAAGAUAUCCCGCGCUACCAUCUCCCACCGGACAGAUCCAGUAACCAAACGCGCCCUGGCCUCCGUCGGAGUGAGUAAUGACCACGUACGAAUUAGCGCAGUAGCCCCGAAUAGAACCUGCAAAAAAUGAAUAGUUGUUGUUUUGUUAAAAGCCAAGUCAUUUCUGCAGUUCCAAAUUGCCCAUAACAACGCACAUGCUCCCACUCGAAUUUGUCUAGCUGUUUCGGCCUCUAUACCAACCAGCCACGUUCCAAACAACGACCUGACCGAAUUCGGAGGAGUAAUGUUAAAGGCAAUUUGCACCGAGGGCCACAACACCCUCGCCAUCGGGCAAUCAAAGAAAAGAUGCUUGAUAGUUUCAUCCCGAUCACAGAAACUACACCUAGUAGAUCCUGUCCAGUUGCGCUUAAUCAAAUUAUCUUUCGUUAGAACGACUUGUUUAUGCACAAACCAUAUAAACACUUUGAUUUUUAGAGGAACCUUAACUUUCCAAACGUGUUUGGAACUAGGAAUAACACUAGAAUUGAUGGCAUCAAUGUACAUGGACUUGACUGUGAAUUCACCAGAUUUAGUAAGCUUCCAACACAACUGAUCGGGCUGAUGAGUAAGCUGAACCUCCAUGAGUCUACUCACCAGAUGAAUCCAAGCCUCCCACCGGUCACCCACAAGCACCCUCCUAAAUUGGAUGUUAAGAGGAGCAGAUUGCAAACUCGUUGCAACCAGAGCAUCCCGUCGCUGCACAAUGCGAUAAAGCGCCGGAUACUGGAGUGCCAGUGGUGCAUCACCUAGCCAGGUAUCUUUCUAGAAUCGAGUGUUAUUGCCAUCACCGAUAACAAACUUUGUUCUGUUAAAGAAAGUAGCUUUGACCCUCAUUAACCCCUUCCAGAAGGGCGAAUCAGUGGGUCGAGCUGUCACCUGCGACAAGGUCUUAGAGUACAGAUACUUGUUACGAAGAAUCUGCGCCCAAGUUGCCUCAGUCUCGGCAGAUAACUUAUACAGCCACUUAUUGAGAAGGCAUCUGUUCUUAACUUCAAGGUUCUCAACCCCAAGACCCCCUUGGUCUUUUGGUCGGCAGAUGACAUCCCAUUUGGCUAGACGGUACUUUCUCUUAGUUUCAUCGCUCUGCCAGAAGAAACGAGACCGAUAGAAGUCCAGCCUUUUCCUAACUCCAACUGGAACCUCAAAAAAGGAUAAAAGAAACAUAGGCAAACUCGUGAGCACCGAAUUAAUAAGAAUCAAUCGGCCUCCAUACGACAUAAGUUUGCCCUUUCAGCAGCUCAGUUUCUUCUCAAAACGAUCCUCGAUACACUUCCAUUCGUUGUUAGUUAACUUACGAUGGUGAAUGGGGAUACCAAGGUAAGUGAACGGAAGAGUCCCCAAAUCGCAACCAAACAGUUGCUUGUAAGCAUCUUGUUCCUCUUUGGCUCUACCCCUUCCUUCUCCUACAAGGAUUUAGUCCAUGCUACUCAAGGAUUUCAUGGUAAGAAAAGAACCUACUUGGCCAUGGAGGAUUUGGGAAGGCGUAUAAAGGCGUGCUUCCGGUCUCUAAACUCGAGGUUGCGGUGAAGAGGGUGUCCCACGAGUCAAAGCAGGGGAUAAAGGAGUUCAUCGCCGAGAUUGUUAGUAUCGGCCGUAUCCGCCACCGCAACAUAGUCCAGUUACUGGGUUAUUGUAGGAGAAAAGGUGAACUUCUAUUGGUCUAUGACUAUAUGUCAAAUGGUAGUCUUGACCAGUACCUACAUGCAUCAUCAAGAACUGGAGGAGGAUUUGAAAUCACUCUAGAUUAGGCUCGGAGAUUUGAAAUCAUCAAAGGCGUUGCAUCCGGCUUAUUCUACCUUGAUGAGAGGUUGGAGAAAGUUGUCAUCCAUCGAGACAUCAAAGCAAGCAAUGUGCUUCUCGAUAGUGAAAUGAAUGGACGCCUAGGUCUAGGUGACUUUGGCCUUUCAAGGUUGUAUGACCAUGGCACCGAUCCACAAACAACGCGUGUUGUCAGCACCAUGGGGUAUUUCGCUCCGGAGCUAGCGCGCACCGGUAAGGCAACGCCUCUAACAGAUGUGUGCGCAUUUGGCAUUUUCAUCCUCGAUCGAGGUAACUUGCGGACGGAGGCCAAUUAUUGACAACGGUCAGGAAGAGGAUGACGGUUCGGAGAUAAUGAUUGACUGGGUUGUGGAGCAUUGGCGCAAAGGGUCGCUCACAGACACGCUGGACAGGAGGCUACGAGGCAGCAACUGCAACCCCGACGAGGUACAUCUGGCGUUAAAGCUGGGAUUGUUGUGUGCGCAUCCGUUCGGCAAUGUAAGGCCCAGUAUGCGGCAAGUCAUGCAAUACCUCGACGGUGACACGCCCCUCUCUGAGCUGAUGCCCACAAACUUGAGUUAUAGCAUGAUGGGCGUAUUGCAGAAUGAUGGUUUCAGCCAGUACGCAUCAUUGAGUGCCGCAGUUAGCAGCAGGAAUGGAAGUCAUUCUGAAUAAGUUAGCAGCUGGUAAGUCCCUGUUUCUUGUCAGUUGUCAGCUUGAAUUAAUAGAUCUUGUAAACACUUAUAGAUCUAUUUAAAAUUAAUAGGACAUCAUAUAUGUAGGGUUUCAAACCCAACUUUCUGUCUUCUGAACAUAUAUACAUACGCCAAAGUUGAAGCUUUUCUCUCUGGAACCUGAAUUACUUACUGUCAGGACAGGAGCACGGCCAAAGCUUCACUGAAGAAAGGUACUUUGAAGAAGCGAAUCACAGCACGGUUCAGUUAGAUUUGAAGAGAAUACCUAGCAUGUGCCAUUGGAUGAUGCUGAGACAUUAGGCAUUCAGAUUCAGAUGCUGCAGUUAAAGAGAAUUGAUCAGUUUUUUUUUUGGCCAAAACAAUAGAGCAUGAGAAACUAUUGUUUUUUGUGGUUGUUAUGAAGAUCAUUGGCCGGCCCUCUGAAAUUCGAAUAUAUGAGUAUAUAUGUUUGCUCUAAGUAAUUAAACGUAUUGACAGGCGGCCGGAGCAAUCUUGAGAAACAGCUUGGAGCAGUCUUGAGAGUGCCCAAAACAAAACAUGCUUUUUUUUCUGUAUCUUGUGGUUGACAGGCUCCAAUGACUGAAUCUGUUGAAAUAUAUGAGCCUUUCAGUUGACUGAAUUCAGUUACUGUAGGACAGGUCCAUCCAAAACAAUUUCUUUAUAUGUUUCGUGCUGGCAACUCCACCGCAUCUUAGCUACAGAGUUGCAAAUUCACUGCAUACUGUACUAGUAUGGGCAGAAGCACAAGACAAGAUUUUGUAAAUACAACGUCUGCCUAGUUAAAAAAUAAUAAUGUUUACCAAAAUACACGAAUCUUUGUUUUGCAUAACUUAACCUGUAUCUUGAGUGUUUCUUGUGUGUUUUUGUACAUACGUACGUACAUAUGGUCCUUUCUCCUCUGCUGCUUACUGAGAUAGUACUAAUUGAGUAGUAGUGUGUAGGGACGCUCUGCAGAAAAGUUUAGGUACUUUUAUGCGGUAAUAAUAAAAAGUUGUUGUUCCCUAUCUUGUACUACUAGUAUGUUUGUGAAUGGAACAAGACAUGGAGAGAUGGGGGGUGUUGACCAAAAUAUUCAGACUAGCACAUGAAGGGGUGUGCCUUGUUACUAUAUGUACUCCCUCUGUACUUUAGUGAUCCAAACGCUCUCUCUUAUGACUUGAAUAGGCGAGGGAAAGACUAAGCACAGUUGACUCCUCUCAUGGAUGAGAGAGAGAAGCAAAUAGAAACAGAUUCGGUUCCGUUAGUUGAUGUUUUCUCUAGGUCUCAAGGUAUGAGCACGUUUGCUUGUUUAUUUGUUUAUUACUACUCCCUCCGUCCCACAAUUCUUGUCUUAGAUUUGUUUAAAUACGGAUGUAUCUAAUACUAAAAUGUGACUUGAUACAUCCGUAUUUAGACAAAUCUAAAACAAGAAUUUUGAGACGGAGGGAGUAGUAAAUAUGCCCAUGCGUUGCAACGGGAGAAAAACUAUUAGAUUAUGCAGGUGUGGUGGAUAUUAAAAAAAAGUCUAAAUCAAAUGCCAGGAUGAGAUAAGGACUUUUAAAAUGUCAUUUCACAAACUAUGUCUGAGUGAUGUCAUGAUGAGAUAAGGGACUUUUAAAAAGCCAUUUCGAGAACUGAAAAUGUGAUGGUCUCAUCACGACUUAAUUUCCUAAUGCGCCACAACAAAAUAUUUUUUGGCUGAGCAAAUUGCAUUGAUGGACCCUGCCUGAUCUAGACUGAUCAAUGAUGUGUCUCGCCUUGACCUAGCGUAGUGGUGUCUAUCAUAAUCAGUAAUGUGGUACCAGAAUAAACGUAGCUGUGUAUGGAGGCAAAAUAUAAAUUUAGUCAUUUUUUUUAUAGGUUACAAAAACUAACCCAUAGGAAUUUGAGUCAAUUUUUAGGGGGCUCAACAUUGUACAAGACACGCAAACCUUUUUUUACCGAACGCGAUGGACUAAAUAAAGUCAUAAAACAACCUCUACAGAUCCCCUAAUAAAACCUCCACGUAAGCGACGGUUCAUUUUGUUCAUUAUUUAUGGAUCUAUUUUAUUUUUUGUCAACAUAUUCUAAAAUUACAAGGUCAUUUUUUUUAAAUUCCCGAAUAUUUUUUGAAUACUUGGUUUUUUUGAAAAAUUAUGACAUUUUUUAUUUCAUAAACAUUUAUCUAAAGUCGUGAUUUUUUUAUAAUAUGCGACCAUUUUUUUUAAAUCAUGAUCCUUUUAUUGAUUUCGGAAUGUUUUUUGAAUUCAGAAACAGUUGUAAUAUGCGACCCAUUACAGCAGACGGGAGGAGGUGGCGCGCUUGUUGAGAAAAGGAGAGAAAAAAGCGGGCGGGAGGAGGAGGCGCGCUUGUUGAGAAAAGGUGAGAAAAAGGGUAGGAACCUAGAUCAAACCUGAUCUCCCAUGAGGAGGAUGGAGGUCCUAGCCAUUGCAUUGCUCAGGUGCGCAUGUUAUGGGAGUGUAUCAGUAUAUAAGAACAACGGAACCCGGGUCGAUGUUAAAAUAAAACCGAACUGUUUUUAUUUACUUAUGGGUGGCAUCAUGGGUAAUUUAUGGCAACUUUGAGGGUAAUUAUGGUGACGUACCGCCAGAAACAAUAGCCCCUUUAUUAUCAGGUAAGAUAAGAUUAUUGACUAUACAAUUUCAACUUGGAGUAGACCAACGGAACCGAAUCUGUAUCAAGAUUUGGUAAGGAAUUUGUAUCAAGUAUAUGUGAUAUGGUAAGGAGUCAUCUCUGGCCUGAGAGGUGGUAGUCCAAGGUGUGGCACUGCAAGAUUGGGAAGGGCCGAAUAGGGCUGCAAAGUCAAAAUGUGCCUCUCACAGUGGCAUUGCCACCCCGGUUAUUUUCUCAUAAUAGAAAAGAGAAAACCUAAUAUUAUAGAACUUUUUUUUUCCUAUUUUGUGUUUUUACUAGUGGCUUUCUUUAGUUUUUCUUUUCUUCUUUUCUAUUUUUUCUUCUAAAAAAUUCAUGAACAUUUUUUCAAAAAAAUAAAUCCAAGAACAUUUGUUAAAUUUUGUGAACAUUUUUUUGAAAUCUGUAACUUUUAUUCAAAUUUAUGAAUUUUUUUAAAUGCGAGAACAACUUUUGGAGUUUUGAAUUAUUUUUUUCAAAUUCUCGAGGAUAUGUUGAAUUCAUGAAUAUUGUUGAAACUAGUGGACAUUUUUCUUUUGGCGAGCAUUUUUGAAAUUAGGAACUCUUUUGAAUUCCUGAACCUUUUUAACUAGUAAAUUUGUACGUGCUUCGCACGUCAUUUAAAUAUAUAGAAGCAAUAUUUUUGGACCAUCGAUUUUUUAUUUUUGCCCAGACCUCCACGAAUGUCAUUUUGACCUGAAAUUUUGCACGCAGUUAGAAAAUUUAUCAACGUCCAUCACAAAAAAAAAUCAAAUUUGUUUGAAUUUUUUUACUAUUUUUUGGAUUGUACUGUUCAUGCGGGAGCAUAUGAGCUCGGGAUCAAAUACUCCAUGUCCGACAAGCUACCUUUUUUAAGGGAAAAGUUAUAAGCUACCUAGACUAAAAAAACUUGUAUAUGGUAAGCGCAUUUUUGUUGUGUUCAACAAUACGCGGAUGUUAUCAGUUUAUUAAAUCUGCAAAUUAUAAACUUUUACGUUCUGCCAUACAUAUGAGAUAAGAUUUUUCUUAGCAGAUUAUGUUGGUAGCUUUACCCUAUCUGUAUGAGCUGAAAUUCUGUCAAUGUAUAGCACUCAAUCUUCAAGUAGCCACUGGUACUGUAUAGAGAUAUGAAAGAAAUAUGUUCAGUUAGCUGCUCCCAGCAAGCAAGCCUGCUGCAGGUUCUUGUGAAACAGAAGAUAAGAUUUUGCAAAUACAACACCUGCCUAGUUGUUUACCAAAAUAUACAGAUCUCUGCAUUUGUGGCAGAGAAGCAUAUACUCCCUCCAUUCUUAAAUAUUUGUUUUUCUAGAGAUUUCAACAAGUGACUACAUACGAAGUAAAAUGAGUAAAUCUACACUCUAAAAUAUUACUAUACACAUCCGUAUGUGGUAGUCCAUUUGAAAUCUCUAAAAAGACAAAUAUUUAGGAACGGAAGAAGUAUAUGUUUUCCAGAGUUGUGCAUAAUAACUGAACCUGUGAGACUAAUUAGAUCAUCUUGAGUGCUUCUUGUGUGUUUUUCUACAUACAUACGUACGUACAUAUGGUAAUUUUAAAUCUCCUCUGCUGUAAUAUUUGGUAUGUAACACACAUGACUGACUUGAUAGGUGAUGUUAUGCACAAAGAUUAAGCAGAAAAAUUACACUUAGUUCGGUAAGAUUCUUAUUAUCAACACUGCGUACAUUGGUGUAAUAAGCAUGAAAAUGCAUAAAUAUUUUAUAUGGAAGCAGUAUGGCAUCAGUACAGAUACUAAGCUCCUGUGAAAUGAGCUCUUCCGGUGAAUCGAGGGUGUGCAAAAGGGCGUGGGUCCCGGGUGACAGUGGGUGAGACGUGUUGUGUUGGCAGCUGAGCCCCCUGCGUAUCUGUUUUUCAUGUGUACGUGUCUUCCGUGGAAUCCUUGUGGAUUUGCUGGGCGCCGCGUGCCUUCGUGGGGCCCUGUGAGUUCUCUGAUGCGUCACGGGAGAGUUCGGCUGGGGCAGCGUGCCACGACCCGACGGGGGAGACAACUGGGUCUGCCGUGGAUUGCUUGCUGCUCAUGUAUAUAGCAUCUGUGCCGGAGCCGUGGUGGAUCCUUUGAGGAUGGGUGGAGCAGCGAGGGAUGGCGUGGAUUUGGAGGAGGGGAGGUGGAACUUGCGGCUGACGGCAUGGUUGUCCUUGUUGUCUGCACGGAGGAGAGAGAAGGGAGCAGCGGUCGUCGACGUGGCUGUAACUGGGAGGUCUGGGCAUGGCUGCAUAUGCCGGAGGACAGGAGGAGGAGGAAGGACAACUUGUCUGCAGCCGAGAGCAGAAGGAGGAGGAAGCACAAGUUUGGUUGCAGCCAGGAACGGACCAGCUUGGAGGACAGAAGGAGGAGGAAGCAGGAGCAGAGAGGGGGAAGGGAGCAGCGACCAGCUUGGUGUCUCCGUUCGCUUCCGUAUGGGCAAACUGAAUGUGUGGAAAUAUUAAAAUAUAAGACAAAAAUAGAGACAAUGGAAAACUGAAUGUGCAUAUAUAUCUUUUUAGACUAUUGUGUAUAUGAAAUUAUAGACAACGAUAUAUACACAUGGUGCUGGAGAUGCUCUCAAGGCUGCGUCCGUUGGUGGUGGUCCGUGCAAGGAGGGUUUCGGUUGGACGGUCGGCGGGAGCGCCGUUUCCACGGUUUGCUUUGGUGUGAAAUCUUCCUUUGCUUCGUCGCUGGUUCUCUUCUGAAGCUGUUUUUGGUUUGAUGUUGAGCAUCCCUGUGCGUUUGGUUUUUGGCCGUAGCUUGGCGUUGCUCUGGCCACCAUCAUCAGCUCCGGUUGUAGCUUCCCCUCACACGCCUCCUUGCCCCGUUCAGAUCUGGGAAUCAGCCUCUGAUGGCUCGUUGCACACCCCCAUCCUAGGUCAUCGACAGUGACCCACCACACAGUGAUGCCCAAAUGUUUGUCUUUGUAGAGGAGUUGUCCGCUAUGUUUGCUGUCAACUUUGUUGAUCCGGCUCAUGGUGGGCCUUUUUCCUCCAAACUUGCCACCUCCCGACAGUGGUCGACAACCUAACAAUUGAGUUUUUGAGUUAACGUCAAGAGGGGAUGUUAUUUCACUUUACAUUGCAUGUCCAUUUAAUGGUAAUGAAUAAGAGGAUGAUUUCAUCUUCGCGAGACAUUAGUCUCUCAAUUAGUGGAUGUUUAUUAAGUAAAAAAAUAAGUUCUAAUAAGACAUCAUGUAUGUAUCGAAUUUGUUGGUGUAACAAAAAGUCAAUGAGGAAGCUCGAAUUCGUAAUGGAACUUCCGAAGUUUCGAAGUGGUACUCACGACCAUGAUGUAUUAUCUCGCUGUAGUAAGAGUAAUAAGAAUUUUUAUUGAAGAUAUCAGAAGGAAAGCCUCUUUGUUACCGGUAAUACACGUUGUAUUAUUGAAUAUUAUACUGGCACUCUGGAAUUAUCUAAUGGCAUACUUUCUUGUUAUGUUCUACCAUUUUUUUAGUCUUCGCAUUUUCCUUUGCUAUACUUUAGUAAACAUAAUAAUGCAACCAUAGUCUAUGGCUAAAAGCACAAUACGUUAUACCAUAUAUGUUAAAUAAAAAAGUGGUGCAAUAAUUAGAGAAAAAUGGCGCAGCAAAGCGCGCGUAUCCAUCUAGUCUUCUCCAACUUUUAAGAAAAUACAACAUAAGCACACAAUGCUAUAAAGGAGGUUACUAUCCAAUCUUAGGUGCAAUUUGUCGGCUUCCCUACAUAAGAGCAAAAGAGGGUUGCAGAUUGACUAGCAUUAUACAGCUGUACUGAGCACAACACUAUUGUGUGGCUACAUAGAGGACCACCUUUUAUUGGGGAACUUUUGUCUCUCGACGAUAACCCUAUCGUAAUGGAAUAAAACUCAUUUACCCCGCAAAAAAACUCAAACAUUUAAAAGUAGUAUGAUACUUAUAGUCUAACAAAUAAUGACAUGUGAUAGGCUGCUAACUCGAUCGUAUUGAGUGGCAAGGCCUUUUCACAUCAACAACAAAAAGUAAUGAGUGGAAAGGAUGACGAGAACGCAGUCAGGGACAUACCUCAACUAAGGACCGACGAAAAUGAGAUUUUAUCUGCGCCAUUUACGGAAAAAGAGGUGUUUGAGGUCGUAUCCCAGAUGAAGCAUAAUAAGGCACCUGGACUAGAUGGGUUCCCGGCAGAAUUCUACAAGAAAUACUGGCGCAUCAUUAAGGCUGAUCUCAUUCCAAUGUUCCAUGAAUUCUUUAAUGACCACCUACAGCUUUUCCACCUUAACUUUGGAACAAUAACAUUGUUAUCAAAGAAGGAGGAGGCAGUACUGGAAACUCACGAAGAACGGGGCUUUCAUGGUAAAAUCUUUGUACUUGGAUCUGAUUGAUUCUGACCCAAUCCCGAGAUCUAUUCAUAUUUGGAAAAUUAAAGUUCCGUUGAGAAUCAAGAUAUUCAUGUGGUUCGUCCAUAAGCAAGCGAUUCCCACCAAAGAUAAUCUGCUUAGGCGCAGUUGGGUAGGCAAUUCAUGUUGUUGUUUCUGUGGUACUGAUGAAACAAUACAAUAUCUUUUUAUCGAUUGCCCUCUCGCUAAGCUUCUGUGGCGUACGAUUCAUAUAGCCUUUAACAUAAGCCCUUCAGUUAGCAUCGACAUGUUAUUUGGGACAUGGUUUACUGGACUGGAAUCAGUUACUGUGGAACGUAUUCGGAUAGAAACAUGCACACUUUUCUGGGCUAUAUAAAAUUGAAGGAAUGAUAUGAUCUUUAACAGACAGAAUAUUUUAAAUUUCUUGCAGGUUAUCUACAGGGCGGCCGCUUGGAUAUGUACGUGGUUGUUACUCACUCAUACGGACUCCAUGGAGCUUUUGGUUACUGUGUGCAACCGAUGGAAGACGGUAGCACGGGCUACUUACAACCGGUUUGGAUGACGGUUUACUAAUAGGAUAGAUGCCUAGUCGUCUGAUCCUGUUCAUUACCAGUUGUGGCUUGGUCUAUUUCUUUUGCUUUUUGUGCUCCUUCUGUGAAUUGUACUGCACUGUGGACCUUUAUUUGAUGAACCUUUUUAAUAAAAUGGCCGCAUGUAUCGUUUUGAUGCAGAGGCCGGGGGUAUGUCCUCCUUUUCAAAAAUAAAAAAGGAUUUUGUAAAGAGCAUCGGUCGGCUAAGAGAAGACGGCUUGGACAUGUGACAAAUGGCAAGACGUACUAGACGGCAACCAACUACACAAACUAUGCAUACAUUUUUUGAAUUAUAAGGUGCAACGUCGUUGUUGAAAGAUAGAUGAGGCAGCUGGUACCUAGUACUAUUUGAUCGAGAAAAACGGCCUACCUCGUAAUAGUCGACUCAGCAGAGUCGACGGCCGGUUGCAUUGCAUGCAUGUAAAUGUAACAAGGAGACAAAAACAUAUAGUAUAACAAAAGAAAGCUCAAGGGACAAACAAAAAAAGUUGAAUGAAGUAGCCCAGAAAAUUAAGCUAGCUAGUUAGGGAUGCCCUUCUUCUUAUGAGGCUGGGAGAAGAAGCGAUUUCUUCAUUCUUCCCGCCCGGCCGCCAUGCCCAUGCCCAUUCACAUUCACGCUCUCCUGCUCCUCCUUGCGCUCGUUCCGCUCGCCGCAGCACAGACGACGUGGGCAAACUGCGGCACAGGCCAAGGCAACUACUCGGCAGGCAGCACAUACGAGAGCAACCUCGUAUACCUCCUCCGCAUCCUCCGCUCGAACGCCUCCAACUCGCCCUCCCGAUUCGCCUCCGGCGCCCUCGGCGCUGCGCCGGACACUGCCUGGGCCCUGGUUCUCUGCCGUGGCGACGUCAGCGCCCCCGACUGCUACGACUGCGUCAGCAGGGCCAUGCGGGACGCGGUCACAGCCUGCAACCGCAGUAUGGACGUGGCCUUGUACUACAGCCCGUGCUACGUCCGUCUAUCCGACGACCACGACUUUCUCGACCCCACCGGCAACUCCGGCGAGGUAGAUCUCCUUACCGGCGCCGACAGAAUCAGCACCGACGUCCAUGCCUACCAACAGGCGGUCACCGGCUUUCUCACCGCCACGGUGCAGUAUGCUGUGGACAACUCCUCCAGGCUCUUCGCCACGGGGCAUUGGGUAGGGCCCGACCGCAAUAUGUACUCGGCGGCGCAGUGCGCACCGGACCUGUCGCCGGCGCAGUGCCGAAACUGCCUGCAACGCCUCGUGGGCAAGUGGUGGACCACGUUCCCCCACUUGGAUUUGGAGGGCGCCAGCAUCGCUGGUCCUCGCUGCACUUUGAGGUACCAAGUGUCCCCGUUCUACAUUGGCAGCGCCAUGUUGCAACAGACCAAGCAGGCGGCUGAACCGGCGCCAGCUCCAGCACCCACGGCUGCUACUGCUGCUCCUACGAGAGGUCAGUCAGCUAGCUACCUGCCUAAAGGGCAACCUGGUGCAUGUAGCUCCCGCUUGCGCAGGGUCCAGGGAAGGGUCCGACCACUUUGGGUCUAUAGUACGUAGCCUUUCCCUACAUUUCUGUAAGAGGCUGUUUCCAGGACUUGAACCCAUGACCUCAUGGUCACAAGGCAGCAGCUUUACCACUACGCCAAGGCUCUCCUUCCAGCUAGCUACCUACCUCUGCCCCGAAAAGAGUUUAAGCCUUGAAAACCCUUUUUCUUCUUUCCGAAAAAGAAAAAGGAGGAUUAGCCCCUGCCUCUGCAUUAAACGCGUCAACAAAACAAUUUUAUUGGUUGUUUAUGCACCUCGAUUUAUUGGUUGUGUUACCAAAUCAAACGCGUCAACAAAACAAUCUUACUCACUUAGAUGAUUGAUAUCGCCUGGCAUUGUUGCCGAGUCCCCAGCUUCAGGCAAGAUGGAAUACAUUUUAAAUGAUGACUAGCGAGAUAUGAAUUCUUCAAAAAAUAAGUGAGAGAUGCGCCACAAUUUUUUUUUGUUUUUGCCAAAACUGUAUUCGAUCAAAAGAAAGUCACAUAUGUAGUUCAUGUUCUAUUGUCCUUCAAUGCCUUGCAAUGUAUUUGUUUCUUCUGUAUAUUUGGUUGGCAAAAUAAUGAACCAAUGUAGUACUAUUGGAUGACACAGUGUUUACUCAUAAAUGCGAUGUUUUGUUCCAGGUAGCAAGAGGGCCGUCAUGAAGAUUAUGCUAAUAGGUAUGCUAAAAACUUUUGUCAUCUUUUCAUAUGUGACGAUUUAAAUACCAAUGGUCCACUAAUAGUGUUUUUCUAUGACGAAAUAGUAACUUCAAAAAUUUACCAUGCCUGUAAUCAUUGAAAAUUGAUUCUAAACUAAAAUUUCAGAGAAGCAACUCCCAGUUUGCACGUACUACUAGAAUUUAUGGAAUUUAGCUUUGUUGAUAUUUUUUCCACCAUGCAAUCUUGCAUAAAGGGAAAUUUAAACUACCUUUGGUCUUGCAAAUCAUAAUUACUAUACUACAGCCUUUAAUUAGUUUACGCAAGGAAGUAACAUAUGCUUUCUUCGACAGCAGCAGCCGCAACCUUGCUAUUCCCAUGUAUUUAUAUGCUGACAUGGCGUAGAAAAGGGAGAAGACUAUGGUUUAUCCUUUGCAACAAGUCUAGCAGAAACAAUGAAAAUAAUUACGAGGCCAUGAUAGCAUCCUAUGGAUCCCUAGCUCCAAAACGAUACAUGUACUCGGAUGUAAUGAAGAUAACAUUUUCUCGCAGCAAUGAGCUUGGAAAAGGUGGUUACGGUGUGGUUUUCAAAGGAAGACUUCAUGAUGGUCGUUUAGUUGCUGUGAAAUUCUUGCAUGACUCCAAAGGAAAUGGGGGCGAGUUUGUGAAUGAGGUUAUGAGCAUUGGCAGGACAUCACAUGUUAAUGUUGUUACCUUAUUUGGGUUUUGUUUGGAGGGAUCAAAACGAGCUCUUAUAUAUGAAUACAUGUCGAACAGUUCCUUGGAUAAGUUCCUUUACUCAGAGAACCCCAAAGAAGUUUUAGGAUGGGAGAGGCUCUAUGAAAUAGCACUCGGGAUUGCUCAUGGCCUCCAAUACUUGCACUAUAGCUGUAAUACACGCAUCAUCCAUUUCGAUAUCAAGCCUCAAAAUAUCCUUCUGGACAGUGAUUUUAGCCCCAAAAUUGCUGAUUUUGGUCUCGCUAAAUUGUGUCAUACGAAAGAGAGUAAAGUUUCAAUGACUGGUGGUGCUAGAGGAACAAUUGGAUUCAUUGCCCCAGAAGUUCAUUCUAGAACCUUCGGAGUGGUUUCAACAAAGUCAGAUGUUUAUAGUUAUGGAAUGAUGUUGUUGGAGAUGGUUGGAGGCAGGAGAAAUGUAAAAUCAAUUGUUGAAAAAUCCAGUGAAAAGUAUUUCCCAGAUUGGAUUUAUGACCACUUUUCACAAGAUGAAGGUUUGCAGGCAUGUGAUGUGACAAGUGAAACUACGGAGAUAGCUAGAAAGAUGACAUUAAUUGGCCUGUGGUGCAUACAGGUAUUACCUAUGUAUCGCCCUACUAUAACACGAGUUCUGGAAAUGUUUGAGAGAAGCUUAAAUGAACUGGACAUGCCACCAAAGCAGAACUUCUGUGAACUAGUGUAAGAUAUUUCUCUCCUACUUUUGUUCCUUUGUUUUUGUGUGAAAUUAUUAUUUAGCACUAACUUGAUAUACUCACUUGUCUCUCGUUUCAGUGAAAGUUCAUCUCACAAUAUGGAGGUACAAAGUGCAAGUUCUACCAGUACCAGAUUUGAGAAGAUAAGCCAUGUGAACUCAAAAAACCUACAACGGUUGCCAACUCUUUCAGCAGAUAUAUAAGCCCCGUUAAUCCAAAAAAAAAUCCUACAAUGAUUUCCACUCUUUGAGAAGGUGACCUGCAUUGGAGUACAUUCAGAAAUUGAACAAGCACAAUGAAAUUCAGCAUUGUACAUAUUCCAUAUGUAUGCAUGAUCUGGAGCAUCGGUCCGAUGUCAGCGCCCACAAGUUACUGUCCAAGCAAGAACUAAAAUUAUUUCAGGUAUCGUAUGAGCUUUGUGUUGCAAGCUCCAACCGCUAAAAUGCAUGGAUCUUUAAGAGUAUAAACACAAAAGCAGGAUUUAGGCUCUAAGUAUGGGCACUAAACUUUCAUAAUAUGGAUGCAUAAAGGGCAUCCGUAUAAACAUUGUGGCAAUAUAUUUCAAUUCGCUGUAAGCAAACUAAUUGUGGAAGUGCAAGGUGCAUACUUAGUGUUGAGUAAUGUAGUAGAAAAUAAAAAAUGAUUCUCUCUAUGAUCAACCAGGAACACUACAAAGAUGCAAUGAAUAGUUUGGAUCAGAUCGUUACCGACUUCGAGUUGCAGCGGAAGAAGACGAGUCAGUAUGGAUCAUACUUGGAGUCCCUCAAACUGUAGAUGAAUGAUUACACAAACCGUCCAUGAACAGUCUCUCGAACGGAAGACCGAAAGCACAGCCUCUCUACGAGUUGCAAGCAUACGGUGUUCACGAUCCGUCAGUGCUUCACCGUCCAGAGCUAAUCGUCCCCGAAGAAUUAGAUGGAGGAGAUUAUAAACACACUGGGCUUCUAAUUAUGAGGAUAAGAGGAUCUAGGUCUAUCUCUAAUUAGAUCAAUUAGGACCAACUAGAACUAGAAAGGACUAGAGGAGGCUCCAAAACAAGGAGGUAGCCACCUUGUAGGUUCUUCACAUUCUAGACCCCCUGCAACAAAGAUCAAAAUCAAUUAAUUCACAUUGAUCUCAACCAGACAUGGAGAAUCGAUCAAAAACAAUUCAGUAACUAACUAACUAAGCGAGACACACCACUUGCGGCGGCAAGCCUAGAGUAGAACCAGGUGCAGCCGCCGCAAGGAUGUUCUAUCAACGCAAACAAUAAAGUGUAUUUUGUCGGAAAAUGAUAAAGGUUAAUUGCUAAACGAAGUACCUUUUUCUAUAAGGCAAAUGCUUGCAUAAUUGGUCAGCAUGGUUUGAUGUUAGGUUUAGGAUUACACAAAAACUUUAGCCUAAAGUUCUUUCAGAAGUUGAAGAUCAACAUGCUAGUUUUGAAUCAUUAGCUAUAUAAACUACAUAUGGAAGAACCAAAAAGGUUACAAAAAAAAUGGUUGUUCACAUACUUUGGAUGCACCAUUGGAGGUCUACCUCAAUUCAUCAAUUGGUUUGGUUUUAGACGUGGAAUGACAACAAAAGUAAUAGGCAUGGUGGGCUUGUACUUGGCAGUUCUCCUGUAGACAAAAGUAAUUGGCUUGUACAUACCAGAUAUGCCAGAUAGUGUAUGAAUUAAUUUGCAUUAAACUGUAAGCCUACGCGAAGCAAUACUAUUUUCGUUCUACCUUGCCGCACGUCGAAAUGAGGUGAAGCAAAUGAUGACUGAGGCCUUAACUUCGAUAGCAGCCUGCACCUAGCAAAAAGGUAGCGAACUGCUUUACACUUAUAAACACAAAUCAGACUCUAUAUUCGAUUUCACAGUACGCUUGAAGUAUAAAAUUUGGGUGAAGACGUUCUCAGCCUGUGAAUUAAUUCAAGAACACAUUCGGUGCCUGUCCUUUGGGAUGGUGUUUCUCGGUAAAGUAUCAGUAUUUAAGUCAAAUUUGAACUACAGAAAAGGGUUCUUUGUCCACAGAUGCCCCUCCCAAAACAUGCCUGCAUUAAUCAAGGAUAUGGACACCUCGAAAGAAAUUUUGCCUCAACACAAAUUCUACCCACUACUAAAUAUUCUCAACUGGAUACAACAUGCACAGAGUCUAAGUACCAGGAAAAUAGCCUCACUACCUGAACAAAACAACUGCAAUUCAUGUUACGAGUAGUAUUGAUCAGCAGUACAGGAGAGCAAAAGUACGAAGAUCUGCAAGAGCACCUUGUCAUGCUUUAUGCUGCUGCUGUAUUUAAGAAGUCUAAAAGGACCCCCUUUGCUGGUCAUAUUCUAGAGUGGUAUAAGAACUUCAUAUUCUUGAGUAGAUAAAAACUUCACUGCAUUUUCCCUGGAGUAUAGAGAUCUUAAUAUUUAUACCGUAGUUCAUAGCUUUUUGAAGAGAAAUUCAUGGUGUCGCAACCAACUUACGUGUUAGUAUAGUCUAUUAUGAAAAUCAUCAAGAUAUAGUAUAUUCAUGUAUAUGAUAUUUUAUUAGGUGCAGGUAGUACGGAUAUGGCUUAGAGAUAUACGGUGCUUUGUCGAGGUGUGCCCAUCAUAUCUUUCAUAGCUACCAGAGAUAAACGUAUGCAACUAUCUAGUACUCCCUCCGUUCCAUAAUUUUUGCAGGUUUAGAUCAAAUCCGAACUAAAAUCACGACAAGAAUUAUGGAAUGGAGGAGUAACGGAGAAGGGUCAAAGGUGUUUGGGGUCAUACAUUCACGCUCUACUGGUACAAUAGAUAUCUAUCUAGUUUGUCAUCGUCGACUGAGGAAUUAUCUCCUAACAAAUCUAUAGUUUGAAUGUAGGCUAAAUGUUCAUAUGAUGACAGAACUAGAAUCAACAUUUUCUUUGUUAGGAUAUUUACGAUAUAUAAAUCAAUUUGGUUAGUCAGAAGCUCUUGCCUUACUUAACCAUUUAAAGAUUAUGAAUGGUUACAUGUUAAACAUUAUGCACUCAGAAGUCGUAAUUAGAUCCAUCGGUACAUUUAAUAUUAAGCAUCAUAUGUAUUCAGAGAAGUAUUGACAAAUCAUUCGACUAAAUGGAAGAAUUGAGCAAAAUCCUCCAGGAGUGGGCCUGCAAAAAGGACGACUGCACCAACAAAUAUAAGCAUCAAAUAGUAAACUUCAGAUUUAUUCAUAGGAUUUUCAUACUAUACCAGAGCUGGGGGCGGCAGAGAAGUGGACCUCGAGGAGGCAUCAUCUUUGGGGAAACCAUCUAGAGUGUUGCUGGAUCACUUUAAUAUGAGGAAUCACACCUGGAUCAUCUAGAACGCUGCUGCCGGUUGGAAUAAUUAGUAAUUACACUAUUCCUGUUAAAAGCACACAAGAAGGCGAAUCCAAGCUUCGUCGAGCAGGUGAAGAGAUACUAACCAAACUUAUAUGUGCAUUUCUAAAAAAUUAUAAACAUGUAUUGCUUAAUUAGAUUAUCGAUCUAAGCACAUCACAAAUCCUUCCAUCCAAGUGUGUGAAUUCCACCCAUUCAAUUAGAAGAUCAAACCUGAGAUAAGAGAAAUUUAUAAGUUGAAGAACACAUGUCACUUGCAUCCAACUAGUGCGAGAACAUCACAAAUAUCACAUGAUCCCCUUUCUAAUGCACCUGUGGGCCGACUGGGGCAUAAAUGUUUCUUCUCCUCGGUUUGAUUAACCGGCGAUUGAGCAAGCGGUCUACUCCGGAGCCAGCGGAGACCAUUGAGGUUGAGGCCUUAUCACGAACUCGAGCGCCAUUUGGGGCUUGGGUAUGCGCCGGAGUGUUGGACGACGCACUGGAGCAUCUGAUGGAGGAUACGGCCGCGGCGGAGCGGGUGCUUCUGUGGCGGCUGCUAGUCCAUCCAGAGGCUAUUAUCGUCGUGGGCAGAGGGGUGGACGGAGAAGAGCGCCGCGGAACUCAUGGCCGUCAUCCCGCCAUGGUCUUGACUCUUGCGCACUCUUGGUGGGUGGACAUGGCGGAGGAAGCGGAGAGGCGUGGGGGAUUGAUUUGGCCGAGUGGACUCCAGAUUGGUGGUGGUACCAUGUCCCGGACGAGAAAGCCAAGAAGGUUGAGGCAGCGCGGCCGCCCCGAAUAAUGGCUGUAAAAGGACAAGAUAUGGGCUGUGCAAUCUCAAUGUAUUGAUCGGUGCACCAGGCACGUAUAUAUAAGUACAGAGGUGGGUCACAACCUCAACUAUACAAAGAAAACAGGAGGUGGACCCUACACACAAAUAUACACUUACACAAUAUACUCAACACCCCNNNNNNNNNNNNNNNNNNNNNNNNNNNNNNNNNNNNNNNNNNNNNNNNNNNNNNNNNNNNNNNNNNNNNNNNNNNNNNNNNNNNNNNNNNNNNNNNNNNNNNNNNNNNNNNNNNNNNNNNNNNNNNNNNNNNNNNNNNNNNNNNNNNNNNNNNNNNNNNNNNNNNNNNNNNNNNNNNNNNNNNNNNNNNNNNNNNNNNNNNNNNNNNNNNNNNNNNNNNNNNNNNNNNNNNNNNNNNNNNNNNNNNNNNNNNNNNNNNNNNNNNNNNNNNNNNNNNNNNNNNNNNNNNNNNNNNNNNNNNNNNNNNNNNNNNNNNNNNNNNNNNNNNNNNNNNNNNNNNNNNNNNNNNNNNNNNNNNNNNNNNNNNGUCGAAGCGGCGCCAGUGACGCAAAGACUGGAACGAAACUCCUCGAAGGUAGAAGUCGGCAGUCCAUUCGUCAUCACAUCGGCGAACUGUUGGGCAGUCGGCACAUGGAGAACCCGAACGCGUCCAAGAGCCACCUGCUCGCGCACAAAGUGAAUGUCCAGCUCAAUGUGUUUAGUCCGGCGAUGAUGAACGGGGUUGGCGGAGAGGUACACCGCAGAAACGUUGUCACAGUAGACAACCGUAGCCUGGGAUACGUCGUGAUGCAGCUCCUGAAGUAACUGUCGUAGCCAGGUGCACUCGGCAACAGCGUUGGCCACAGCUCGGUACUCAGCCUCCGCGCUGGAGCGCGAAACCGUGGGUUGUCGCUUGGACGACCACGAAAUGAGUGAAGGACCGAGGUAGACACAGUAGCCAGAGGUGGACCGACGAGUAUCGGGGCAGCCGGCCCAGUCUGCAUCGGAGUAGGCCACCAUCUCCAGAGAAGUAGACGCCGUAAGUGUCAACCCAAGGGUCAUUGUGCCGCGGAUAUAACGAAGGAUCCGUUUCACGAGAGUCCAAUGAGAGUCACGAGGGGCGUGCAUGUGGAGACACACCUGCUGAACAGCAUACUGAAGAUCCGUUCUGGUGAGAGUCAAAUACUGAAGAGCACCGACAAUAGACCGGUAGAAAGGAGCAUCCGACGCAGGCGAGCCCUCAAGAGCAGAGACCUUGGCCUUCGUGUCAACAGGAGUAGCAACAGGGUGACAGUUGAGCAUGCCAGCACGCUCAAGAAGCUCAUGUGCAUACUUCUGCCGAUGAAGAAAGAAACCGUCCGGAUGCCGAACGACCUCAAUGCCAAGGAAAUAAUGUAGAGCACCCAGGUCCUUGAUAGCAAACUCGUCACGCAGCCAGAGAGUAAUCUGCUGAAGAACAGCUGCGGAGGAGGCCGUGAGGAUGAUGUCAUCGACGUAAAGCAGCAAAUAUGCAGUUGUGUCACCGUGGCGAUAGACAAACAGUGAGGCGUCCGAGCGAGUAACGCUGAAGCCCAGUGUCUGAAGAAACCCGGCGAUCCGCUGGUACCAGGCGCGGGGUGCCUGCUUGAGCCCGUAAAGAGAGCGGGACAGCAGACACACAUGGCCGGGAAGUGAGGCGUCGACAAAACCGGUGGGUUGCUCACAAUAAACCUGCUCCUCAAGAUGGCCGUGGAGAAAGGCGUUGGAGACAUCCAUCUGGUGAACAGGCCAGCCGCGGGAUACGGCGAGCUGGAGGACGGUGCGGAUCGUGCCCGGUUUGACAACCGGGGCAAACGUCUCAGUGAAGUCCACUCCAGCGCGCUGGCGGAAACCGCGGACCAGCCAGCGAGCCUUGUAGCGCUCGAGAGUACCAUCCGAGUGGGUCUUAUGGCGAAAGACCCACUUGCCGGUGAUGACGUUGGCGCGAGGAGGCCGGGGAACCAGGGUCCAGGUGCGGUUCCGUUGAAGAGCAUCGAACUCUUCCUGCAUCGCCGCAAGCCAGUGAGGAUCACGGAGGGCGGCGCGAGCAGAUGCGGGAAUGGGCGACGGCUCCGCGGCGGAAGCGGCGAGGACGUACUCGUCGCUCGAGUACCGGAGGCUCGGACGAUGAAUGCCGGUACGAGCGCGAGUGACUGGGCCGGGCGGCACCGUCGGAGCCACCGGCGAGGCGGCCGGCGUCGGGGCCGGCGAAGCGGCCGGCAUCAUAGCCGGCGAGGGGGCCGGCGAGGUAGCCGGCAUCGGAGCUGGCGAGGGGGCCGGCGUCAGGGCCGGCGAGGUGGCUGGCGUCGAGGCCGCGGAAGAGGCGGCCGAGCCUGCAGCGCCCGAUCCCGCGACGCCCGAGUCGGGGGCGGCGGGUGAAGACGGGGCGCCGGCUGCACCGUCAGAGCCGGCCGAGGAGGCCGAGGGGGCGGGCACCGGCGUGAGGGCGCAAGGACCGCCAAAGCCCGGCGGCGGUCCACGGGCCAGACGUGACCGUCCACCUGACGAAGUCGUCGAAGGGCCGCCGGUGGCCGGCAGUGACGAGACGACAAGGGGUACCUGCUGCUGAAAUGGAAACACCAUCUCAUCAAAGUAAACGUGUCGGGAGGUGAAAACACGAUGGGAGACGGGAUCAUAGCAGCGAUAGCCCUUGGUGUUAGGUGGGUAGCCGAGAAAGAUGCAGGCGACGGAGCGGGGUGCAAGCUUAUGAGGCGCAGUAGCGGCGAUGCUAGGGUAGCAAAGGCAGCCGAAGAUGCGAAGCCCAUCAUAAGAGGGGGGUGCACCGAAAAGAAGAUGAUGAGGUGUAAAGUUCCCGCGAGUACGACAUGGGCGGAUGUUGAUGAGGAGAGAAGCGGUGGCGAGAGUGUCAGGCCAAAAGCGCGGAGGCACAUUGGCAUGAAAGAGAAGAGUCGUAACGCAGUCACUGAGAGUGCGAAGGAUGCGCUCAGCACGACCAUUCUUCUGCGAGGUGUACGAGCAAGUGAGACGAAAAAUCGUGCCAUGUGUGGUGAGAAGAUUACGAACAACGAGGUUGUCAAACUCCUUCCCGUUGUCUGUCUGCAACGCAAGAAUGGGACGACCAAACUACGUGAGAACAUAAGAAUAGAAAGCGGCGAGAGUGGAUAUAACAUCCGACUUGCGGCGCAACGGAAAGGUCCACACAUAAUGCGAAAAAUCGUCAAGUAUGACAAGAUAAUAAAGAAAGCCCGUAUUACUGGAAACAGGAGAUGUCCAAACAUCACUAUGAAUUAACUCAAACGGGUACGAUGCAACAAAAGAAGAAGCCCUAAACGGAAGACGAGCAUGUUUGCCGAGGCGACAUGCAUGACACGAGUGAUCCUCAUUCUUAUUACACGUGAAAGAAAAACUCUGAAGUAUGUGACGAAGGGUGGCAGGAUUAGGAUGACCCAAGCGAGCAUGCCAAAGAUCCACUCCGGUGGCGAGAGCGACAUGAGUGGUGGAAGUGGUGGAGGUGGCGGAGUGAACUGGGUAGAGCUCGUCGAGGCUGUCACAUCGGUGGAGCACCAUCCGCGUGCGAGCGUCCUUGACGGAAAAACCACAUUCGUCAAAUUCAACGGUAACCGGAUUUUCACGUGUAAGAGAACGAACAGAAACAAGAUUUUUAAUAAGUUCAGGAGAAACUAGAAUAUUAGACAUGGAUAUAGGAGUGGAGUUAGACGGAAAAUAUGUAUGACCAAUAUGAGUGAUGGGAAGGGAAGAACCGUCACCGACGGUGAUGCGGCUGGAGGUGUGGACAGGAUGGGCGGUGUGAAGGUUACCGGGGUACGCCGCCAUGUGAGCGGUGGCGCCGCUGUCCAUGUACCAGUCGCCGCCACCGGUGUAGCUGGACGCGGAAGGAGCGUUGUGGAGAGCCGCCAGGAGGGCCGGGUCCCACGGUGCCGGCGGGAGAGGCGGCGCGGCCGUCAGGGGCAGCAGCGGCGGCUGCUGACCGUAGGGCGCCGCGUAGGGCUGCGGCGCGGCGUAGUACGCCUGGUGUGGCUGAGGCCGGGUGCCGAGAAUGUCCGGGGUAGGGGCCCGAGGAACCGGCAUAGAGAAGGCGUGUACAACGCCGGUCCAUGGGUUCUGGCCGGCGUACCACGGGGCCGGCUGAGAAGCCUGCUGCGGUGGGCGGGGUGCUCCUCCCUGAGCACCUGCGCCCCCCUGCUUGCGGCCGCCACGACGACCGCCGCGACGACCCCCCCCCCCCCAUUGGCCGCCGGCUGGGGCGGCGGGAAGGGGGCGGCCGGUGCAGGCGGGAAGCCUGGCGGGAAGGCGGGCGCCGCCGGCUGUGGCGGCGUCGGGCACGGCGGUGGCGGGGCUGAACCCCCGCGGGUGCCUGCGACAAGGGCAGUGUGGGUCGCGCGAGUCCGCGCCACCCGCAUCCGGCGCUCCUCCAACUUGAGGUACGCGACCACCUUGACGAAGGUGGGUUCCGGGAUGAGGGUGAGGUUGGAGGCGGCGUUCCCGAAGUCCUCGCUGAGGCCGCCGGAGAGGGUGCUGAUGAGGAGCUCGUCGCCAAUCUUUUCCCCGAGAUCACGGAGCUCAUCGGCGAGCUUCUUGAGGUGCAUGCAAAAAUCAUCGAUGGAUGAGUCAAGUUGCUGGCACCCGUAAAACUCACCACAGAGCAGGACCUUGCGCUGCAGCCUAUUGUCGGUGAAGAGGCCGUUGAGCUUGGUCCAGACCGCAUAGGCGUCGUCCUCGUCGUCCACCACGGUGUGGAAGAGGUCGCUGGAGAUGGUGAGGUAGAACCAGCGGAUGAUGGUGGCGUCGAGGAUCAUCCACUCCUCGUCGUUGAUCAUGAGAGACGAGUCCACGGUGCCAUCCACGUGGCCGUGCAGGAGGUACUCACGGAACACAAGCGAAAAAUACCACUUCCAAGCGGAGUAGGACGCGGUGGUGUGAUCAAGCUUGACCGGAACACGCUCAUGGAUGUUGAGGUCGCGGACGAGAGUGACAUCGGGACCGGCGAACGGGUUGGAAACGGUGCACGAGGAGGAGCUCAUGGCUAGGGUUCGGGACUCGNNNNNNNNNNNNNNNNNNNNNNNNNNNNNNNNNNNNNNNNNNNNNNNNNNNNNNNNNNNNNNNNNNNNNNNNNNNNNNNNNNNNNNNNNNNNNNNNNNNNNNNNNNNNNNNNNNNNNNNNNNNNNNNNNNNNNNNNNNNNNNNNNNNNNNNNNNNNNNNNNNNNNNNNNNNNNNNNNNNNNNNNNNNNNNNNNNNNNNNNNNNNNNNNNNNNNNNNNNNNNNNNNNNNNNNNNNNNNNNNNNNNNNNNNNNNNNNNNNNNNNNNNNNNNNNNNNNNNNNNNNNNNNNNNNNNNNNNNNNNNNNNNNNNNNNNNNNNNNNNNNNNNNNNNNNNNNNNNNNNNNNNNNNNNNNNNNNNNNNNNNNNNNNNNNNNNNNNNNNNNNNNNNNNNNNNNNNNNNNNNNNNNNNNNNNNNNNNNNNNNNNNNNNNNNNNNNNNNNNNNNNNNNNNNNNNNNNNNNNNNNNNNNNNNNNNNNNNNNNNNNNNNNNNNNNNNNNNNNNNNNNNNNNNNNNNNNNNNNNNNNNNNNNNNNNNNNNNNNNNNNNNNNNNNNNNNNNNNNNNNNNNNNNNNNNNNNNNNNNNNNNNNNNNNNNNNNNNNNNNNNNNNNNNNNNNNNNNNNNNNNNNNNNNNNNNNNNNNNNNNNNNNNNNNNNNNNNNNNNNNNNGGCGGCGGCGGCGCGUGGAGGCGCGGCGGCGGCGGCGGCUGGUGACGGCGGCAGGGAGUAGCGGCGGCGCGUGGGCGGCGGCUAUUAGGGUUAGGAUCGUGCUGUGAUAGAUACCAUGUAGAAGGACAAGAUAUGGGCUGUGCAAUCUCAAGAUAUUGAUUGGUGCACCAGACACGUAUAUAUAAGUACAUAGGUGGACCACAACCUCAACUAUAUAAAGAAAACAAGAGGUGGGCUCUACACACAAAUAUACACGUAUAUAAUAUACUCAACAAUGGCAAUAUCAGUGGUUGGCGAGCCGAGGAAUAGAGCGCAGGGCGGGUGAGAGGUCCGGGGAGGCUAGGAUUUGGGGUACAGCCAGCGGCGGCGGCGGCGGCUAGAAUUUAAAUUACCCCAGGAACUACAAUACUGUUUACUAGAACACAACACUGGACUAACUGUUAGUACUGUUUAAAUAAAAACCUCUUUUACUUUUGACCGAAGAAAGAAAAGAAUGCCACAUGCUGCAUCAGAAACCAAAUAGUAGUAUGCCUGUGGAAAACUUGGAACGGACGGUCGGCCAAUGUGCUUUUUCCUCACGCGUUGGCGAAUCGUUUCUAUCUCUCUCCAUUUUUUUUUGCGGGGUUUCUAUCUCUCUCCUUGACACUUUCUUUUCUCACAGCACCAGUUGGCUUUUCAUACAGCCUGUAAAGAAAGUGCGUUGAAACUCUGCUGGUGCCCGUAGAACGAUUGUUCUACGGUUUUGGUUCCAAAAAAAAAAAACUCUGCUGGUGCAAGGAAACAUAACGUGUUAUCUGUAACAUGGGUACAAUUUACCACGUGACACAUGUAGUAAGCAAUCCAAAUUAUUCAAAACAAAACACGGUUACAAUUUUGGUAAAAAAAAAUGUAGUGCAGCGUACAAACGUACUGCCAUCUUAGAAAUAUGGUUACAGAUACAUCGUACAAGCAUGCGGCCACCUUGAAAACACAGUUACCAAUUUUGUUCUGACCAAAGGAGACCUCCACUGCUGCUCAUGUUUUAAGGAUUUCACCAAAAAUAGCUUAGUGACAAACAUCUUGCAUCUUACGUGAUCGACUCAGUAUGUGUAGCCGCUCAGCUACCUCCAUCAUCGUUGGUCUUUGAUCUACAUCCAGACUAAGGCACUCCACGGCCAUAACCGCAAGACUGUCAAGAAGCUCCAAAUCUUCUGGCAUCGCUAUUUCCUUGUCAAAAAACUCGGUGGCCUUCUUCUGUUUCUUAUGGGCUUCAAGAAAGCUCUUUACCAAGAUAUUAUUGUCGGAACGUAUGGCCAUCCUGCUGCUGAUAAGCUCCAGGAUCAUAACUCCGAAACUAUAGACAUCACUUUUUUCGGUGAGGAGGCCUUCCUGAAGAUAUACCGAAUCCAUAUAAUUCAUGUCGCCGAUGACUGAUCCGGUGUGUUGCUUGUCUCUCGCAAUCAACCUGGAUAUGCCAAAGUCUGAAAUCUUGGGUACAAAGUUAUCAUCCAAGAGUAUAUUUGCUGGUUUGACAUCACCGUGUAGAAUUCUAAUAUUUGCUUUUGAGUGCAUAUAAGCUAGACCAUCCGCUGACUGUGCAGCAAUACUUAAACGUGCAUCCAAGUUGAGAGCUACAUUGUUCUUGUUGCUGUGAAGAUUGUCAUGGAGGCUACCUUGGGUGAUAAACUCGUAGACCAGCAUGGGGGCAUCAACUUCAAGGCAACAACCAAUGAGCCUAACAAUGUUCUUGUGGAUGACUUGAGUUUGGAUGAUGACUCAAUUUGCAAAUUGUUCAUUCUCUAGCACACUACCACUGAUCGGCUUCUUUAUUGCAACUUCUUUAUUGUCAAGAUGGCCCUUGUAAACUUCACCAAAGCCACCUUUACCGAUCAAGUUGCUACUCUUCAAAAUUGGCUUGAGUUCCUCCUUUUUGAAAAGUUUUAUGACAUUUGCCUUCUCUAAUGUAGGUCCGCCGUUCUUUUUGAAGAAUUCUUGCCCCUUCUUUUUCUCUUUGCGAAGAAUAAGAAGAAACGAUAGAAUCACCAUAAGAAGAAUACCACCUAUUGCACCUAGAUGGACAAGAAACAAACUUGGUUUAUGCAUGUCACUAAAUUAGCAGUUACAAAUCUAGCAAAAAAUGUUUAGUAUAAGAAGUAAAUGGAAUAUAAUCAAAUUACCACUAGAACUACCAGAAGAAAAAUAAAUCUAAAUCAAGACUGCCAAGGGGUUGAAACUCCGAGGAAAGUGUGCAAGGGACAAGGAAAGCAUGUAGCUUGUACAAUAAAGUCAGGUGAUUUAUAGGAAUUAAGAAGUAGAGCCGACAUGUUGAUCCUUUGAAACAAUUACAUAUAUAUGCGGCUUUGUAUGCAUCAAGAGAUGAACAGACAGUUGCUAUGUCAUAGAUGUGUUUCUAUACGUCUGCUCAGCAAAUGGCUGUAGCGGUUAUCUGUAGAGACCGAAGGCACGUGGGCCCAGAUUCUGCGCAGUAAGUACUAGGAGUCUAAGUCCUUAGCCCAGGUUACAGCUAGACCCAGUGACUCGCCUUUUUGGAAGGGUCUGAUGAGAAUGAAAUCAGACUUCUUCCAUAGAACCAAAUUUAUCAUUGGAAAUGAUACUUCGACGAGAUUCUGGAAGGAUACGUGGUUAGGGGAGACGCUUUUAGCCACACAAUAUCCUUCUCUCUAUAAUAUUGUACAACGUAAAGAGGCUUAUGCUGCUACAGUGUUACACUCCAACCCUCUAAAUAUUCGAUUCAGGAGAUCUUUGGCUGGAGACCGUUGGGAAGCUUGGCUCCAUUUAGUCAGAAGGUUGAUGGAUGUGCACUUGUCUCAUGAGUAUCACUGGAAGUUAACUACUAAUGAAAUUUUCUCUGUGAAAGCAAUGUAUUUGGAUCUAAUUAAUUCCGGUCCAAUCCCAAAAUCUUCACAUAUUUGGAAGAUCAAAGUUCCAUUAAGAAUCAAGGUCUUCAUGUGGUUUGUUCACAAGGAGGUGAUUCUGACUAAGGAUAAGUUGGCAAAACGUAAUUGAGAGGGCUCAUGGACAUGUAGCUUUUGUGAGCAUGAUGAAAAUAUCAAACACCUCUUUCUCGAUUGUCCGAUGACCAAAGUUUUAUGGCGCUCAGUGCAUAUAGCCUUCAAUAUCUCACCUCCAAAUAGUAUUCACACACUAUUUGGGACGUGGCUAAAUGGAGUAGAGACGAAUACGGCGGAACAUAUUUGUGUAGGAGUAUGUGCAUGCAUUACUAUUGGCUAUAUGGAACUUUAGGAACAACAUGGUUUUUAACAGGCAAACUCGUAUUAAUUUUUUUGCAGGUUAUCUUCAGGGCCACUGCUUUGAUCCGUAUGUGGUCGCUUCUCAUUCCUAUGGAAGCCAGUGUGCCUUUGGUUACUGGGUCUACCCGAUGGGUGAUGAUAGUCGGGAUAUCUUCGACCGGUUUGGAUGGUGGUCAUGUAAUAGGAUAGGUGUUUAGUCAUCUAUUUCUAUUUUCGCCGGUUGUGGCUGACUUUACUUUUUAUUUUUCAGCUCUGACAGAGCUUGUUCUGGUACUGAGACUUUUUGGACCUGUUUUUAAUAAAUGGUUGCAUGCACUAUUCUGAUGCAGAGGCCGAGGGCAUUCCUCCUUUUCUAAAAAUAUAUAUGUAUAUAAAUAUAUGUUGUUGAUUUAGAGUUGCAGGAGCAUGAAGAUAUAUACUAGGAGUAUUAUAGGUGGAAGCAAGGUCCUGCUUGAAGUAAUUGAUUUAGGUGAGACAAAUAGAAAAAAGUGCAGGUGCGGUGUAGUAGUAGCUUACCCACAGUCGCCUUUGCUGCUGGAGUGAAUACAUGUGUGCAGGUUCCGGCUUUGCCGUCGCCUUUCAUUCCGAAUUUGCAUGGACAGUCAUAGCCUCCGGGCCUGUUUUUGCAGAUCCCGUGAGUCGAGCAUGGAUACACUUGGGGUUGCUUGCACUCAUCGAUGUCUGAAGAAUCAUCAACACGUUAACGAGUUGGUAAUGGACAGUUUGUUUCUUGCAUUGCAUGUAUGAAUGUAGGAGUAUGUAAUAUCAUAUGUACCUUGGCAUCCGUUUGCAAUGUAUGGGUUGCCAUCGUAAUGGUCCCAGCACUUGCAGAUAUAACGAGCAGGAGCAGAACACCUCGAAGCCAUGCCGGAAGCAGCCCGGGCCGACGCCGAUGCCGAAGGGGAAGGGGAUGUCGAUGUCGCCGCACUUGUGGAGGCAACCCCCUUCCCCUUCCCCUUGAGCUUGAGCUUCAGCUUCAGCUUCAGCAAUGAUGGCCAUGGCGGCAAGGACGACUAAGACUAGUAGGAUUACUGGCGGCGGCGGCGGCCGUGAGUAGAAUUGCGAGCUGGGCGUGGUCAUGCUCUUCUCUAUCGAUAUGAUGGAUGAAUGGAUGGAUGGAUGGAUGGUGGAGCUAGCUAGCUACCCUGGGAUGGCAUGAACGAAUGCCAACUUAUACUCCUCAUUGCAUGUCAUCACUUACUAGUCUGUUUGCAGCAAAAUAAAGAUAUAUAGCUCAAAAGCUAAAGCGCAACAGCACAGAACCAAGACCAAGAUCAGCGUGUUUCAAUUCAAUAACCACGCAGCUGCACGCUGUUUCCCUCUUACGACCACUGCUCCACAUAGCAAAAAACUGUUCGGCUUCUAUCUCCCAUUCCCAUCAUGUGAAAUUUCAGAUUUCCAAAAAGUUUCAAAAUUCCCCUAAAGUAUUAAAAUGUGGGUCCGACUUUACGUAAGUCGCUUGAAAACUUUCUUUCCGGUUUGGUAAGUCGAUUUUCUAGGCCGUCAAUUUAAGAUCCAACACCCGUCCUUUCUUCUUCCUCCAACUUUUCUUCUCCUCAAAUCGUCCUCUCCUCGCUGCCACUCGCCAUGCCAUCUCCCGACUUCAGCGAGAUCGGUGUAUAAUACAAGCAGGAACCAAUACUAAAAGGCUCCCCCACCCGCAUCGAUCAACCUUCGGACUCGUCCGUAGCGUGUCCGGCUUCGGCUCGGUCUCGCCUACUUCCAUACGCCCUGCUGCCACUAGACGCAGCGUGUGCCCGGCUCUACCUCGGGGCUCCGCUUCGCCUUCUUCAUUAUCCCACAAAAUCACACUUACCCAAAUUACACAUUUAGACAACUUAUUUCUGCUGAUUUGUGUUAAAAUUUCUAGUCGACCAGUCACAUUCUCAUUUCUGCUGGCGCGUCAUUUUCUUUCAGGAUUUUUUUGUUGAAGCAAAGACUUUUAAUUGUGGCACUUUCGUAGUGCAUAUAUAUAUAUAUAUAUAUAUAUAUAUUAUAAUCCAAAAGAGAAAAUGGGAAUCAUGUGUUCCAUCGUGCAUCUGAUCCGUAGCUAGUUGAUUGAGAAGGCUAAUAUAUAUAAGUGUUGAUCCAUGUUUACUUUAGGCCACUAAUUGAUCAACUCGCCAAUAAGCUUCGCCUUGGUAAAGCAAGGGUAUAUAUUCAGAUCUGCUAUGAUUUUCGUCAUGAUCGCACGCUUUAGCUAAAGCUAUGUGGAUAUACAGAAACGACUUGACCUAGCGGCAGUUUACCAUUUCGGCAGAGAUUCAGUGCCACCAUUUUGUUCCGGUUCAGUGGAGCGACACAAGUGAGAGCACACCAACCACGGCAUUAUUGUUAUUCCCAUUCCAUUCCAUUAACACGAACUGAAAUCUCAGCUAAAUGUUGGACCAUCUGAACUUCAUGCUUGGGGAGUCCCUCAAUAAUGAAUGUAGCUCCGCCACUAAUCUCAUGCAUUCGUUAUACUCCCUCCGUUUCUAAAUAUAAGUCUUUUUAGACAUUUGAAAUGGACUACAACAUAUGAAUGUAUGUAGACAUAUUCUAGAGUGUGGAUUCACUUAUUUUGUUUCGUAUGUAGUCACUUGUUAGAAUCUUUAGAAAGACUUAUAUUUGGGAACGGAGGGAGUAGUUAUUGGCAGGCGAGUGCACAUUUUAUGCAAACCUUUCUUGCCUCGUUAUGAUGUAUGUAUGGUAAGUAGAUAUUGUUUUUUUUAUUAAAGAAUUUGAUUCUGCAAUCGCAACUGAUAGUUUGUAGCUACUUUCUUCUAUUACAACUCAUCAAAGUAAUCUUGCUGCGCUGCGGCUGUAGAAAAGCCAAGGUUACAAAAGGGCACGCGUACCAGAAGAGAAGAUGCCACGUGGGCGGCACCUAAUUACAUCUCUCAAGGGUGAUGUUGAUGAAGCUAGCUAAUAAGAUGAAGAUGCCAAGUGGGGGAUAUUAUUCAGUUAUAAUAUAUGUUGUGCAUCCAGCAAAAACAGAGGAGCUGCUCUGCUCUGCUCUGUUUCUGGGAAAAAAACAGAGGAGUAGGAAACUGGCUAACCUCUAGUUUAGUUAGCGAAGCUAAUUAGAGUGUGUGUUUCAGUAUUUUUCAUCUUGACAAGUACUCCCUAUGUAAAGAAAUAGUAUAAGAUCGUUUUACAUGCCUUGCAUACUUAUGGUAGUACUACUAGUACCAUCAGAGGUCGAUAAUACGAUAACAUGUCUUGUUUCAUCAUUAGGGAAAUUUCGAAAGCAUUAGGGCAAUGGUGACUGUAGAGCAAAGUUCGAUCAUUGUAAUUGGUGAGAAGGAGGCCAGUCAGGUUGUUUCUCGGCGAACAAGUUGUAUUUCAACUAGCUGCUUUAUACUAGCACUUACUUGUACCCUUCAAAGUUCAGAAAUCCAUUUGUUUCUGACGGCCUGGCAAGCAACCAAAUUACAGUACAUUUUACCGACGACCAUUCGAUUCAAUCCAUUUGUUUCCUUUACUACAUAUAUAGAAUAGAUUCAUUCAGUACUACACAAUACCAAACAUCAAUUACCUUAAGCAUUUUUUUUUGAAAUAAACGCAGGAGAGCUGCGUAUUUCAUUGAUUAGAAGGGGAGGCGAGAGAACGCCGAGUACAGGUGCAGGCUAACGCAUUAGCUUGCGGAACAAGAAAUUCAGAGAAAGCAAAAGAGAAAGAGAGAAAAUAAAUGGGCUACUCUCGCAAAAUUAGGUGCCGGCCUCCUGCCAGCGCCCAGUCGCAUGCCUCCGAUAGCAGGAGGUGCAAGACUUGCCGCGGCGAGCGUUCCGUGGCACCGCCAAAAAUGCACAUGUUGCGCUCCUUCCAAAUCCACCAAAAAACCAGAAGGAUAACCGACUUCGCCAGCUUCCGAGUGGAAGGCGCGCGACUCAUGCAGCUUAUCCAGUCGAUCCAUGGCGUAUCCAGCGUCCAUGCGGCCGGAUUUAGCUCCGCGACAGCGAAACGGUGCGCCACCAUUUCCCAUAGCUGUCGUGCCCAAGGGCAUUCCUUCAUGAGAUGCACCGAUGUCUCGAGGCUCCGCUUACAUAGCGGGCAAAAAUAGGAAUUGGGCCAUUGCCGGGCAAGUAGGCGGUCGGCUGUGAGGAUCGCUGUUGGGCAAGCAGCCAUGCAAAGGUACGGAGUUUGGGCGGAGCCCAGGCCUUCCAGAUCUCCUGCCGCAAUGGGAAAGUAGUGGAUCCGAUGAAGAAUAGCCUAUACGCGGAGGCCGUCGUGUAGACACCAUUUUCCGUUAGCCUCCAGCGGAAAGAAUCCGUGGUGCCGGGGGAGAGCGGCUGCCGGGAAUUGACACAUGCCCAUAGCCUGACAAAGGAAGGCAGCAUGUUGGUGGUCACCCGGCCACGCAGGUCUUGGAUCCAUCUGCUCCCUAACAGUGACUGACGCACGGAGCGCGCCUUGCGUCUUGAGGCCUUGAAUAGGUCAGGGGCGAUCACGAGCGGCGCGCCCUCGGGCAGCCAGCUAUCAUACCAGAAACUGGCCCGGUUGCCAUCCCCAACGGUGACCGCACAUGCUGCCGCAAACAUAUGUCGUUCCGCAAGUGUCACCGGGACCGGUAAACCCUGCCAGGGGACAACCGAGGUCCUUUCUGCCCAGAGCCAGCGGAGGCGGAGCGCCACGCCGAACCGCUCCAGGUCGACGAUACCGAGCCCGCCAAAGUCCCGCGGGCGGCAAACGCGGCUCCACGCGACUUUACAGUGCCCGCCAUGGCAGACCUCCUUCCCCCGCCAUAGCCAUGCACGCCGCAGCCGAUCUAGCUCCUUACGAACCCAUGGCGGGAGCGCAUAGACGGCCGACCAGUAUAUGGUGAAAGCAGUCGGGACGGAGUUGAGGAGAACCAGCCUCCCCGCAAGGGUGAGCAGCCUGGCCUUCCAGCGCGCCAAGCGUGCGCGGAGCUUGUCCAGCAGCGGUUGCAGGUCCACUUUACGCAAGGCCCUGAGCGACAAUGGCAGCCCCAAAAUUUUGCAGGGGAAGCUCUCAACCCUAGCCCUCAGAGGCGAGAUCACGUCGUGCACGUCCAACUGCUCGCACCUUAUGGGAAGGACGGCACUUUUCUCAAAGUUUACCUUAAGCCCGGAAACCAGACCGAAAGCAGUGAGAAUGGAGCGGAGAGCUGCCAGCUCGGUCUUCACGGGGUUGAGGAAGAGAGCCACAUCGUCGGCGUAGAGGGAAGCCCGCAGCUGCGGCAGCCGAUCCUGGAGCUUGGAGAUGACCUCUGUGUCCACUACGACAUCGAGAAGCCGUUGAAGGGGCUCCAUGGCGAGGAUGAAAAGGAACGGCGACAGAGGCUCACCCUGACGCAAUCCGCAAAAGUGAAUUAUGGGCCGGCCAGGCACCCCAUUGAUCAGAACACGUACGAGGAGGUGGCAAGGAGCAUGGAGAUCCAAUCGCACCAUCUCGGGCCAAAACCUUGAGCACGGAGCAUGUCAAGCAGAUAUGACCAGGAGACGCUGUCGAAAGCUUUGGCGAUGUCGAGCUUGACGAAAAGCAUGGCGCGCUUGACACGGUGGAAAUGGCGUGCCAUCCCUCGGGCGAACAUGAAGUUAUGUUGGAUGCAGCGCCCUUUGAUGAACGCAGACUGGGCCGGGCCAACAAGCUCGUCAAUCCGCCGAGCGAGACGCAUCGCAAGCACCUUCAUGAACAGCUUAACCACACUAUGGAGUAAGCUAAUCGGCCUGUAAUCCGCCAUCGAAGUCGCGUCCACCUUUUUGGCCGGAGACACCUGUAGAGCUCCUUUAUAAUCACCCAGUUACGUUGUGACGUUUGGUAGCACACAAAGUGUUCCUCUGGCAAACGGGAGUUGCAUAAUCUCAUAGUCAUAGGAACAUGUAUAAGUCAUGAAGAAAGCAAUAGCAACAUACUAAACGAUCAUGUGCUAAGCUAAUGGAAUGGGUCAUGUCAAUCAGAUCAUUCAACUAAUGAUGUGAUCCUGUUAAUCAAAUGACAACUCUUUGUCCAUGGUUAGGAAACAUAACCAUCUUUAAUUAACAAGCUAGUCUAGUAGAGGUAUACUAGUGACACUCUGUUUGUCUAUGUAUUCACACAUGUAUCAUGUUUCCGGUUUAAUAUAAUUCUAGCAUGAAUAAUAAACUUUUAUCAUGAUAUAUAAGGAAAUAAAUAAUAACUUUAUUAUUGCCUCUAGGGCAUAUUUCCUUCAGAAGACACGCUCGAACAACGAGCAGUGCCACUUUGAAGAACAUCAACGUUGGCCGGUACAGGGCUACGAGCGGCCGGCGGGCACGCUUGGGAAGGAAAAACAACAACAUCGACAACGCGGUCACAGAAUGGCGCGGGACAGAGCGAAACUACGGCGCGGUCACAGGACGGCCCGAAACAAAGCACAAUCCUACUGAUCUGGCAAACUAUCAUGUCGGAGGUGAAGACCCAUGACUAGUCCACGUGCCGCCUCAGACGGGCAGUCCAGCCUCCUCGCCGGCCAGGGCGGCGAGCCCCUCAUAUGGCAAGUUGAUUGAGGCCUUGGCGUGCACCCCAGCAGCCCUCACCAGCUUUGCCGUCAGCUUCCCAAGAGGAGUCUUGAACCUGUUGAUGCAGCGCUCCUGGAUCUCCGGUGUGAAGUGCUCCGGCCUCGAGAUGAACUCCAACUGCUGCGCGAGGCGCCUGCGCCUUCUGCUGCUGGGUCAGGCCCGUGGCACCCUUGGCGAUCCGCGCGCUGGCCCGACGCUGCAGCGGUGGCAUCGCAAUGGGGGUGGGCACCAUCACNNNNNNNNNNNNNNNNNNNNNNNNNNNNNNNNNNNNNNNNNNNNNNNNNNNNNNNNNNNNNNNNNNNNNNNNNNNNNNNNNNNNNNNNNNNNNNNNNNNNNNNNNNNNNNNNNNNNNNNNNNNNNNNNNNNNNNNNNNNNNNNNNNNNNNNNNNNNNNNNNNNNNNNNNNNNNNNNNNNNNNNNNNNNNNNNNNNNNNNNNNNNNNNNNNNNNNNNNNNNNNNNNNNNNNNNNNNNNNNNNNNNNNNNNNNNNNNNNNNNNNNNNNNNNNNNNNNNNNNNNNNNNNNNNCAAGCAGCGAGGCCGGCGGCGUGCGGAAGAGCUUGGCAAGAAGCGACGCUGGGCCGUCCUCGUCAACUUCCAGCCCAGUGAACUUGCAAGCCAGGCUGUCAGCCACGUUGUCCAGGUGGACCCGUUCAGCAGGAGACUUGUGGACGACGACCUCCUCGAGAGCGGGCGGGGCCGGGUCCAUGUAGCAGAGGUUGGGCCAGGGGGCGAGGGGCGCACUAGGCAGCAGCGUGGGCUGCAAGGGCUCCUUGUCCGGGCCUUGGGUCGGUGCAGGCAGCAGGCCCAUCUCCGUGGCCGAGAGACCAGACCAGGGGAGUGGGGGUUGGUUGGUGUAGGGCCACAGAGUCUCGUCCGCUGGGAAGGAGUGCACCUGGCGCACGGUCCCGCCAUCCAGGUCGAGCAGGAGGGGAUCAGCGCGCGUGAGGUCGCGCCAGAGCAUCUCUACCUCAGAGGGGAAGGGCAGAGGCUCUUGGCCGAUGACACGGCAGACGGGGACGCCGAGAAGGGCGGCAUCCGCAGACAGCACAGGCAGCGCCAGGGCGCCAGGCAGCACCGCAGCCAAGACGAGAGGCGGCACGACCGCAUCCUCCAAAACGCCUGUCGGGGAGGCAGAGCGGGCACCCCCGCGGCGAAAACGGUCACGGGACCUCGAGCGGCUGCGGCGCGACGACUGGCUGCUGCUGGAGCCACGCGAGGUGCUCCGCCCGUGAAAGGAGCCAGGAGACGUGUCAUGGAGACGUCCGUGGCAGGAUGAAGAGCCGUGCGACCGACGCCCAUCCGAUGUGGCACCGUGCUCUGAGCCAUCCGAGCGGCAGCCAAGCAGACCCCUGCGCCGAGCCGGACGCGACUCGCCCGGCGCCCACGCCCACGGUCGCGGUCACUGAUAACCCACAAGUAUAGGGGAUCGCAACAGUUUUCGAGGGUAGAGUAUUCAACCCAAAUUUGUUGAUUCGACACAAGGGGAGCCAAAGAAUAUUCUCAAGUAUUAGCAGCUGAGUUGUCAAUUCAACCACACCUGGAAACUUAGUAUCUGUAGCAAAGUGCUUAGUAGCAAAGUAAUAUGAUAGUGGUGGUAACGAUAACAAAGUAAAGACAGCAAAAGUAAUGUUUUUGGUAUUUUUGUAGUGAUUGUAACAGUAGCAACGGAAAAGUAAAUAAGCGUAAACCAGUAUAUGGAAAACUCGUAGGCACCGGAUCAAUGAUGGAUAAUUAUGCCAGAUGUGGUUCAUCAUGUAACAGUCAUAACAUAGGGUGACACAGAACUAGCUCCAGUUCAUCAAUAUAAUGUAGGCAUGUAUUCCAUAAAUAGUCAUACGUGCUUAUGGAAAAGAACUUGCAUGGCAUCUUUUGUCCUACCCUCCCGUGGCAGCGGGGUCCUAUUGGAAAUUAAGGGAUAUUAAGGCCUCCUUUUAAUAGAGAACAGGAACAAAGCAUUAACACAUAGUGAAUACAUGAACUCCUCAAACUAUGGUCAUCACCGGGAGUGGUCCCGAUUAUUGUCACUUCGGGGUUGCCGGAUCAUAACACAUAGUAGGUGACUAUAGACUUGCAAGAUAGGAUCUAGAACUCACAUAUAUUCAUGAAAACAUAAUAGGUUCAGAUCUGAAAUCAUGGCACUCGGGCCCUAGUGACAAGCAUUAAGCAUAGCAAAGUCAUAACAACAUCAAUCUCAGAACAUAGUGGAUACUAGGGAUCAAACCCUAACAAAACUAACUCGAUUACAUGAUAAAUCUCAUCCAAUCCAUCACCGUCUAGCAAGCCUACGAUGCAAUUACUCACGCACGGCGGUGAGCAUCAUGAAAUUGGUGAUGGAGGAUGGUUGAUGAUGAUGACAGCGAUGAAUCUCCCUCUCCGGAGCCCCGAACGGACUCCAGAUUAGCCCUCCCGAGAGAGAUUAGGGCUUGGCGGCGGCUCCGUAUCGUAAAACGCGAUGAAACUUUCUCUCUGAUUUUUUCUCCUUGAAAGCCAAUAUAUGGAGUUGGAGUUGGCGUCGGAGGGCCACCAGGGGGCCCACGAGGUAGGGGGCACGCCCAGGGGGGAGGGGCGCGCCUCCCACCCUCGUGGACAGGGUGUGGGCCCCCUGGUCUUCAUCUUUGGCGAGGAUUUUUUAUUAUUUAUUCUAAGAUAUCCCGUGGAGUUUCAGGUCAUUCCGAGAACUUUUUUUUUCUGCACAUAAAACAACACCAUGGCAAUUCUGCUGAAAACAUCGUCAGUCCGGGUUAGUUCCAUUCAAAUCAUACAAGUUAGAGUCCAAAACAAGGGCAAAAGUGUUUGGAAAAGUAGAUACGACGGAGACGUAUCAGUCACCCGCCACGUCAUCGUCGUCAUCACCCCCACGGCGCCUGGGAUAGGGGCGCGGGUGAUCCUGGCCGCGGGGGCGGCGGCGCGGGGCGGGCGCCACCGUGCCAUCUUCAAAGUGACGAGUCCAGCCGAAACGCUCCUCGAUGGGCCACUCCUGGCUGGCCCCGGGCGCGCGAUCGGCCAGCGGCGUGUAGUCCUUGGUCAGGUCCAGGUGGAUGAUGACGGGGAACUGGGGACCGUGCAGCGCCUCUUCGCGCGGGGUGCCUUCGGGGAGAGCGGGGCGACCACGGCCGUCCGGCGCACGAUCCAGGAAGGAAUGGCCGCUGCCGAGGGGGAUGUCAUCGGGGCUCCACGCCCACACCCAAGCGUAGGCAAGCGCGGUGUUGGAUAGCGACGUCGUCUGGCGCUCCAGCCUGUCCACCCAGCAAGACAUGCCGAGCACGUCCUGCACCACCUCACGGUGCCACGCCUGGACGGGGAGGUUCUCAAUGGCCAGGCGACAGUAGAAGCGCCAGGCGCGUUGAUGCCCGCCCGCGGCCGGCCUCCAGGCGGCGAGGGUCAUAGCCACCCCGCGGCAGGACGCCACGCCGACGUCGACAGCAAUGUUGCGAUCACGCGUGUGCGCGAACCGGACGAGGAAGUCUUCAGGAUUGUGCCUUGACACGUGCAUCUGGUCGAAAGGGAUGGCGAGGUCGCGCUCGAUGGCCUUGGCGACGAGCUGGGGGUUGAUGUCCUGGCGCUGCUCCGAGAGGGUGACGACCACCGCUGUGCCCCUGAGAUGGCGGGCCAUUUCCUCGACAGCCUGGGAGCACACCGAAAAGGUGGCGUCGGCCGCCUGGCGGCGGGAGAGGUCCCCAGGGCGGUAGGCCAUCGGCACAGGCGGCAGGGCAGGGGGGCGCGCACAGAUGGGAGGAGAGGGCGGUGGCGCGGCCUGAGGUGGCGGUGGGAUGUGGCUGGGUGCGGGGGGGUGGCGAGGCGCAGGUGGUGGUGGUGGCGGGAUGCGGCGAGGCGCUGUGGGAGGUUGAGGCGGAGGAGGGGACGCAGGGGCUCUGGCUAGGGGCGGGCUUGCGGGCGGGACAGCGGGCGGACCUGGAGCGGUGCGCCCAAUGCCAGCAGGAAGAACAGCGCACGGGAUAUCGGCAAUCAAUUGCACGGUGGCCGGGGGCGAGACAGCGAAGACACUUGUCGUGAAAGCGCCUCAAAUAGGCAGCGCGCCGUUGCUCGGCGAGCAGGAGCUCAGCUGGGGAGCGCGGGCGGCCAUUACUCAGCCCGGCUGAAGAUGGUACGGGCGGUGCACGCUGCUGUUUCCUCGAAGCGACCAGUUUCCAAGCAGAGGCCUCCGGGGCCCGCCCAUCGCGCGAAUCCCGCGCCUCCAAGCUGGAGGAGGAGGGCGGAAGCGUGCCCUGCAGCGCAUUGAAGGAGGAGGUGGGCGGGAUGUAGACUGUGGAGGCGAGGCGAGGAGGGGGAGAUGGCGCGCAGCGCAGAGCAGUAAUGGUGGAGGAUUGCGGGAUCGAGAUCAUCGAGGGGAGGCGCCGAGAGUAGGCCGGCGCAGGGCAUGAAUGCCCGCUUGCCAAGCAGGGCGACUGCCCACUGGCCUCGCUUGGACCGCCCACUUCAAGGUGACCGAAACCAGAUCCAGCCAGAUCCAGCGUGCCAUGGGAGCCUGGGGCGACCGCAGGUGCCGAAGGAUUCGCAGCUGCGCCGCCGCGGAGUUCGAGGCGCCGGGGAGAGGCCAGUGCCGGGCAGGGGGUGAGGUGGUCGACGGGCUCGGAGUGAGCAGCGCCGAUAUGGUGGUCCACACGGCCGGGGAGGCGCAUGGCGAGGGGCUGGUGGGGGAGCGAGAGCGGAGCGCGUCUUCCUCCAUUGUUUUGAUUCUUCCACCCCAUUACCUUAAGCAUCACAAUUCAACAAACGCAAAUAUGGGGUGUAGCUCAUAAGGUAGAGUGCUCGCUUCGCAUGCGAGAGGUGCGGGGAAUUGAACCUCCACUUUUUUGACCCUCUUUUGCCCAUUCCAUUAAUUUAUUUUUUGUUUUUUGUUUGGAGCAAACCAAAUAUACUCCUUUUUUUCUUCAUUCAUCCAUUUUCCUCUUUUGGUUUUUGUUUUCGGGAAACAAGUCUACUAUCUGACAUUUACACUCUCUUGUAUUUCUUUAUCCGGCUUCUUGAGACCAUUUUUCCGUUACCUGACCAACAACUAAGCCGGAUAAGGUGCAUUGGGAUCCCGCAAAUUGGAAAAUACGAUCAUAACAAUUCUUAUUUCCAUUCUCGAAAAACAAAAACAGAAAAAAAAAACUAGAUCCUUGUGUCCAAAUAUAUAGACCCGGAGAAACUAGGUGAUCAUCUGAACCAUCCAGAGAGAUAUGUUGGUCGAUCCCAUGCAUUGGAGAUGCUCUUUGGUUGCCUUCAGUUGGGAUGACUGUGCCUGUGCCUGUGUUUGUGUGUGACUGUGCCCUGUUCGUGGGGUUAUGCAUUCAAUCGAGGUAUACGUACCCUCUUCUCUUUACCUUGUUUUAUUUAUUAUUCAUCGGAAAUCAUACCUUGAUUCAGAGCAUUCACAACAGUUUGCAACUCAACUUGAGUUACUAAUCAUUAUAUAUAUAUAUAGCUGCAUCGAUCGAUCGAUCUGUAUAAUCGACAGUUGGUAUCUUUUUGAGAGUCCCGUCUCUUUUUUGUUUUGAAACUGUCACCGGGGGAAAAGAGUCCCAACCUGAGUAUAUUUCGAUUUUUUGUUUUUGUUUUUGUUUUUGUUUUUGUUUUACAAGAGUCAGGACAGUGGAGAGGAUAGGAAAUCACGCGACAGGAUAGGCCGGCGUGAUCCCUACCUCAGGAUAGCUUACCGUACUGUUUAGAGCCCCGGAGCAGGUGGAGUUACACUUGAAAAUCACGGAGCACCUGUUUCUUGGCUUCGCAGCUCUCGCGAUUUCAUGGAGCUGGUGGAAUUCCGAACAGGGUCUAUGUGACCAGAGUGUGAGAUCAGAGAUGAUAAAAUAGAGAUUACAACAUUAGAGGAGAGAUCAACAAAACACCGUUAGGGGAAUUUCUGGAAUCCCAUAUUUUCUAAAGUAUUAGAAGGGGAAUAAGUUGUUUCUCAACUAGCUAGUGAAGUUGUUUCUCCACGAACAAGUUGUAUCUCAACUAGCUAGCUAGUUUAUACUACUUAUACUUGUACCCUUCAAAGUUCCAAAAUCCAUUUGUUUCUUUUUCUCAUGGCCGGGCAAGAAAAUUGCAUUUUACUGACGACUAUUUGGUUCAAUCCAGUUUCGUUUACUACAUACUCCCUCCGUAAAGAAAUAGUGACCUAAAUGCUCGUAUAUUUCUUUACAGAGGGAGUAGAAUAGAUUCAUUCAGUCCUACACUUAAUGAAACAGCAGCCACAACCUGCAACUGGCCGGAGCACAAUUUCAUCCAGCUACCAAACCAGUAGACAGGGCAAAAAACAGACUGGAAACAUCAGCAGUCAAGCACAGCAACAGCAGUGCUUACUCGUCUCCCACCCAUCCUAACGAGUCAUCAUGAUAGCUAGUGAUUAGUUGUUCCCAGAUGAACUCAGGUCUCAAGCUCCUUCCAACUCCUCCGCCGCCACCUCGGCAGCAGCCGACGCUGCCCUUGCCCUCGCCCUCAUCGUGGCCACGUCGGAGAAGUCGUCGGGCAGCACGAUCAGCGGGUUGCUGUUCCCCUCCGACUUGCGCAGGAACGCCUGGGCCAGCGCAUACCCCAACGCACGGCCGACUGGGACCGCCACCGCGUUGCCGACUUGCAUGUAUCUGUCAAGCAACACAUCAUCAUCAACAUUCACGAGUUGCAAAUGUUCAGUUCAGGUCCAGCCUCCUACCUUCUGAUAUGGUAUUUGCUUAACACGCUCAUAGUCAUCUUUGUUCAGCUUCAAAGGCCGGUGAUCCAGGAGCUUACCUUCUGAGGGACAUUUGUUAUCACCAAAUGAGUAGUCCAGCAUCUCUGGAACAUGUCAGGAGCUUCAACUCAUUACAAAGGUAUAUAUAUGAAACUGAAUUGCAAAGUGAAAAACUAGGCCUUUCUUUCCCAAACAAACAAAAAGGUGAGCGGAUUCAUCUUGUUAGUAGAGCUAUGUAAUUUACCUUUACGACUUAGCCGGAUAUAGCGCUGGAAUUCCGUCUCUGCUUUCACACUAUACACAGUUUCAUCCGCAGUUUCAUCGUUGCUUACCUAGAUGUACAAAAGAUGUUAGAUAUGUCGAGGUUAUGAAAUGUAUAGGCUGGGGGAGAAACUUGCCGUGGGCAGAUCUGAAAUGGCGUCACCAAGACACAGAGCCUCCUUCAAGGUUGGUUUCUGAUUUUCAUCAUAUGCAACAACGCUUUGCUGCAAAACAGAAUCAAUCUGGUCAUCAUGCAUGUUUACACUUGCUAGUGAUUUCAGUAUAGUUUUACUUACAGAGAAGGCACUUGGGGGAGGGGGUACUUUGGGAGCACCUGCAUAGCCAAAUACACCAUAUCAAUCAUCUGAGUCAUAGAGUUGUAGAGAACACUGAUAAUGACAAGGUACAAAAACAAACCAUGGUCGGGAGGGCUCCCCAUAGGAACAUUCGCAUUCGGAAUUGUGGCAGCCCAUAGCAACCGGCUACCAUCAACCCCAUCCGAGAUUGAUAGUUUAGUGCCACCAAACGGCUCAAAGCAUACCUACCAACAGAGCCACCAUUGAGCUUAAGAAUAUCCGCGACGUUUUCCAUAAGCACAUAUUUUGGCUUAAGGAAGGAAACGAUGUCCAUAAAUGUGACAAUCUGUCUAUUCUUGUCAUCAUCCAAGGGUUUGUCACAUUUUCUGUGCCGAUUGUUCCCGCUCAAUCCUUGACAGGGCGGGCCACCGCACAACACAUCAACAUCACCCUUUAAAAUGUGAUAGGACAAUCAAAUACCAUUAGCGAAUCUUGUGUUUAGCCAAUAUUAUCAAGUAGAAAGAAGAUAGGAAACACUCACUGGCAAUGGUAAGAUCUUUCGCCUAUGGCCUUCUUGAACAAAUUGUUUAAUUUUAACUGGGAAAGCACUGAACAUUGAAGCAGAGUCAUUGCACUUGAAAUACACUUUUUUUUACGAAUAACUUCUGAUUAGAUACUAACCGGAGUUUCUCCAUGGGCUCCAGGAAUCCUCGACCUGAUGGUCAUUCCAUUGCACCUGUUAAAAAAUUAUAUUAUGAUGACAUGUACACAAACAACAAAUGCACCAACAAAUGAACAAGAUGAGAAUUAAGAGUACCUUGAAGUAUAUGCAUUUUUCUCUCUUGGUGCCACCAUAGGAGAUGGCGGUAAGUUUGUCUAUGACAAGCUUGCCUUUUUCAAGUACACGGUCUUUCCCUUCAUCCGCCAACGAACUAGCUGAGGCAUCACCAUUAUGUUUAUGAAUGUGCUUGUCACAUAGGACAGACCAUUCCUCUAGCAAGGUAAGAAAAUCCUCCACUUUUUCAUUACGAACCUACAUCCAAAAAUCAGGAAACAAAUUAUAUAUUCAGCAAACAAGAGAGAGCAUUUAUACAAUAUAACGAAGUUUAAGAUGCACCAAGACAUACCUCUGUGCUUGGAUGGUUAUACUUAAAGCUCUCACAUGCAUUGGUAUUAAGAUCUACAGCCCAUCGCUACAAAUAUCAAGAAAAAGGUAAAAGCAAAUAAGGACAUGUUAGUGGAGAGAAAUCAAUCACUUAUAUUCUUCAAAACAAUAAGGUAGAACUAUACCGUUUCGAUCUGAAGACCAGCUAUUACUGCACCCAAGCACAAGCCGGUGGACAUUCCACCACAGCCUGAAUAUAGGUCGAGAAUUGUUGCUUUUGUUGCUGCAGCGUCAGACUCUGAAUUAGCUUCACCAUCAAAUGAGAUCCCAGAAUUCUCAUUAAUAUCUACAAGCAAGGCAAAUCUUGUAUUAUCAUAAUAAUUUUUUUUACCACGGGAAUUUAUCUCGGUAGAUUAAUUCUGAAUUUGUGUGUACAAGUUCAAGGUGGAAACUGGAUUUCUGACUUCAAGCAGAUUAUGAUCAACAACAGCGAAAUUGGUGGGGAAAAUAGGUCUAUGUAUAUUUUAAAAAACCUUCAAAGCCCAAAAAAUAAUUUUGAAAAUCUAAUACAACAAAUUUAGCAAUGGUACUCCAAAGGUUAUAAGCAGAGUGCAAAGCCAUGUCAAUAUAUAGUAAGUUUCUCUAUAGAGCCAAUAUAUAUAAUGUUCAAAACAUAACCAAGCUGGUUUGCCCUUGAUGCAGGCAGCAAUUACCUGGUGUGAUAUUUUCAAACGUCGAGUAGGGGACAGUAUAGGACAUAUCAAAGUACAGGUCCGCGUCAGCCGCUAGUUGAGCCUUGGCUUCUUGAUCAAGCUGAAACGAGGUGUGCAACAAAACUGAGAAACAUUUACAUAGGUAUAAGGCAUCAUAGAGUCAUGAACAACAAACUACACUUACCUUGGGAUCGACCUGGAUGAUCUUGACCUUGGACACAAUACAAUCAAGGUCAUUAUCGUUCCUCUCGUCAGACAAGAAAACACGCUUCGGGUCGUGGGUGUGGUCCUUGACAAGUUUCGUGUUGGAUAUCACUGUGUCUUGUGGACGGAAGAACCACCGGCAGGCGAAGUAGCGGCCACCGUCGACGCCCUCGAAGAACUCUGUUAUCCUGCCGAUGUAGUCCACCAGAUUUUCACCGGCCUAUGCACAAAUGGGUACGUAGAAAGGAAUUAAUAGUUGGAAGUAUAGGAUUAUUUCUAGUCGCAACAAUCAAGCAAUGCGGUCUUUACUACUACUACUACUCCUAUUACUUGUUUAGAAAAAGCGACCUCUGCAUUAUUCCGAUGCAAUGCGUACAUAACCAAUUUUAAACCUAUCUAUCUAUCUAUCUAUCUAUUAUAUAAUUAAAACAAGAGACAAAUAAGCCAUCAUGUUCAUCCACAUAUGCUAAUAUUAUUUAGACCAUUUGAUUAGAAUAGCAACGGCUAAGAUUUAAAAGUAAUUACGUAACAUGUUAAUCUGAUUAGAAUAGCAACGGCUAAGAUUUAAAAGUAAUUACGUAACAUGUUAAUCUGUAGAAAACGGCAUGAUUGAACCAUCACGUUGUCACGUGUCUAUGCAUAAAGAUGUAGUAGUCGAAAGUACCUUUCUACUCCCGAGCUCAUUUGAGCUUGGUGAACAGUAAAAUCGAAAAAAAAUAAAAAAAAAUUGAAAAAAAUUCAAAUUUUUUUUGGGAUAAACAUUGACAAAAGUUCUACCUACUUGCAAAAAUUCGUCAUGGAAUCACAUUCCUGUGAGGCGUGACAAAAAAAACAAAUUCAGUGCUCCAAAAUGCUUUUCAAAGUAGCAUUUUCAGAGUACCAAUUUUGUUUUUUCUGCCACGCCUUCUAGGAAUGUGAUUUUAAGACGAAUUUUUGCAAGCACUUACAACUUUUGUCAAUGUUUCACCCAAAAAAAA
Molecule: long non-coding RNA, 72282 nt
Filed under: Triticum aestivum (bread wheat)
Lineage: Eukaryota; Viridiplantae; Streptophyta; Magnoliopsida; Poales; Poaceae
Description: long non-coding RNA (TAES_LNC013884)
Rfam family: MIR1120/MIR1122 microRNA precursor family (bases 32822-32956)
Source: RNAcentral